Molecule: long non-coding RNA, 81914 nt
Filed under: Olea europaea (common olive)
Lineage: Eukaryota; Viridiplantae; Streptophyta; Magnoliopsida; Lamiales; Oleaceae
Description: long non-coding RNA (OEUR_LNC005423)
Source: RNAcentral
CUACAUUUUAGAAUAUAAAAGAUCUGAUACUUAGAUACAUACCCGUACCCCAUUCCUAUACCCAAAUCCUAGCAUCAUAGAUUUUUCGUAAGCGACAAUUCCAUUAAGAUCUCAUCGGGGAGAAUCAGUACAAAUCAGAUUUUAAACAUUUUGCAAUUUUCUUUUCAAUACCACAAUUUGUGGCAUCGGGGGAGAAAAUUCUAAUGACAUCUAGCUCGAGUUCAGCUACGAACAAUGUGUUUCAAUGAUCAUGUUUCCAACAAUCUGCAUCACGCAGUAACAUCUUUUCUUUUCAGCACACAAUACAUCAUGUUCAGCAAAUUUUUUGCCACCAGCAACAAAUUCAACCAGUUUUCUCCUCCUUAAUACAUAAACUAAUCCCAACACAUAAACUAAUCCAUAAUCUCUCGCUUACAAUCUCCAAUUCAGUAGAUUUUUAACCUUUAGCAACAAAUUCAACCAGUUUUCUUGUUCUUAAUCCACGAACUAACCCAAAAAUACCAACUUACCCGUUAUUCUCGUUUUUAUUCUUCAGAUCAGGAAAUUUUUAACCUCCAGCAACAAAUUCAACCAGUUUUCUCAUUCUUAAUCCAUAAACUCAUCUCAAUAUACCAACUAUUCCAUAAUCUCCAUUUUAUCUCAUGUUUAAUUUUUAUACCUCCAGCACUAAAUUCAACCAGCUUUCUCCAUAAACUAACCCCAACAUGCCAACAAUAAAAAAAUUAAAGAACCAUAGAAACCCAUCAAGAUUUUAAGCAUAAUUACUUAAAAAAAGUUUCCUACACAAUUUUAAAUCCACCAAAAUCGAUAAUAUAACAAGGAAAUAGAAAAACCCACAAACAAACGAGCAUGAAAUGUAGUCAAUCGAGCAUAGGAAUCCAAAACUGAAAUUAUAAUUAUAUAUUAUGAAUAAAAAUAAAAAGAAUGUAAAGAAAUAGCAGCUGUAUGAAUGUAUUACGACUUCCGAUUUGCCAAUGAGUUUGGCUACAGUGGAAGUGGCUUCAGAGAGGAUGAAUGAGGUGUCAAUGUCCUCCAGGCUCACGUUAGCCGACAGAUUCAGGCACGGCAUUUUUCCCCACAAAAUACUUCUUUCUCUCACACUGACUUCACGCACUCUGGAAUAUUCUUAUUUUGUUAUCCAAGGAGGAAAACAGUUAAAAAUCUUCAAAACACUACUCCGAUUCAAUUUGGUGCUCCAUUUAGUGCUAUUUAUGUUCAUUUUCCAACCAUGAAAAAAAUCCUGGUUAGAUCAUGGGCCAAUCUAGCCAAUAAUGACUAUCACGAUAUAUAAAAAUGACUUCGGUCCUCUAUGAAUGCUUUUAAUACAUGCUUAAUCAUAGUUUGAGAUAGCAAAUUGAUUUGAUUUUUUUGUCAACUUUGAUCGAUCACAUGAUAGGUCGCCUAACCAACAACUUGUAUGUCACGUUUGACUCUAGAUUAGAUCCAGCUCGUUUCGUAGAAUUUUCUAAUUGAUUCCAACCAAGCACAAAUCACAUGGUAUUGUAUUGAAUUUGACCAAGUUUCAAAUGUGACAUAAAAACGAUUGAUUGGUUUGAGUUUUUUAACUUUUAAUUCUUCUAUGCAUGCUCAAUCAUAGUUUAAGUCUUUGAGAUAACAAAUUGCAUAAAUUAAACUUUUUUUUAUCAGUACACAUUUUGCCUUUUUUAACCACUUUUUGUAGACUGCUCGACAAGUCAACUGGCCUACAAUCAUUUCUUUCUUUCCUUACGCACGGUUGUUCACACAAAAUUUAUAUUUAUUUCUCCCUCUCCAUUGAGGUGAGUAGGGUUGAGAUAGACACCUGAAUCUUGUCACAUUUGACUCUAAAUUAGGAUCUAGAUUGUUUUGUAGAGUUUUCAACUCAAGUCCAAUCAAACCAAAUCAAAUUACAUGAGUUUGACCAAGUUUAUACUUUGCAUCCAAUAUGAUUCUACUUUGGCUAUGAUCAAGUUGAAAGUCAAGUGUGAUAUGCCAACCUAUCAAGUGGUGGCGUUUGGUUCAACUUGGAAAAAUCUAAUACAUAUGAAUAAGUUUCACAUAUGUGAAACCCUUUUUUAGUCUUUUGGUCAAAAUGGGAAGUAUUAACCCUAAAUGGAUUUUGAGAAGGUCAAAAUGGGAAGUAUUAAACCUAUAUGAUGAAGAUAUUUAAUAAUAUGCAUUUAACUGGAAUUGAUAAUUUAAGGAUCCAUGAUGAAGAAAAGAGUUUUGAGUCAUAUAUGCAAAUUUUAUGAAGUUCAGAUACUAGAAAACAAUUUCAAACUUUGCGAUGGUUUGAGUUUUGCAAUGAACUCGCAAAAUGAACAUGCCCAAACUUUUUACUUGUAAGGAAAAAUCGAUUUAUUGCAAAACCAACCCAGCUCAACUGGUUCUGUUAGAGUUGGUCGGUUUCCUGACCCAAAUGCCACACAUAGGUCAAGCUACCAUGCCCAAUUUUUCCGAAUGAACAAGCUUUAUUCAUAUCUAAUGCGUCUACUUUACUGGAGGUUAAUAUCGUACAAUAUAUUCCACAAUUGAACAAUUUUGCUUGACCCUCAUACAACCACAUUAUGCAAGGAAAGACUUGCAAGGGGAGUGGACAUAAUCUAUCAACUUUUAGUAUUCAAAAAAUCCAUAAAAUAAAUUUGACAACCAUAGGCAUAAUAUAUUAUAUUAAAACAUCGAAAAUUUAUCUUAAGCCAAUUAUCAUAAAGUAGAUCAUGAAAAGGAUAAAUCUCACAUUGAAUGAAGAUGAAAACCAUAGCUUAGACUAUUUUCGUUAAUCGGUUCAAUAUGGUAUUAGAGCCCAACAAGCUUAAACGAGCAACUUGAUCCGUCUAAAGCUCAACAAAGCAUUCGGAUUCCAAGAUCAAACAAGCCACCACCUUGCAGCUUAGGCUACUCUUAAUGAGGUUGAUCUUUUACGAUGGAAGGAAUCCCAAAACAAGCAAACAGCGUUUAGACUCAAAAGAGCUGCUGCAAUUAUGUGAAAUUGCAAACCAAAACCCGAAGCUAGAGACCAAAAAAUGCAACAGCUUCAACAUUCCAAUUGUCGGCUUAUCUUUUGUAUUCGACAAUUCCAUCAAGAUCUCAUCAGGGAGAGUCAGUACAAAUCAGAUUUUAAACAUUUUGCAAAUUUCUUUUCAAUACCCCGAUUUGUGGCACCGGGGGAGAAAAUUUUAAUGACAUCUAGCUCCAGUUCAGCCACAAACAAUGUGUUUCAUCAAACAUGUUUCCAACAAUCUGUAUCAUGCAUUAACAUCUUUUCUUUUUGGCACACCAUAUAUCACGUUCAGCUCAUUUUUUGCCUCGAGUAACAAAUAUAUCCAGUUUUCUCCUUCUUAAUACAUAAAAUAAUCCCAACAUACAAUCUGAUCCAUAAUCUCUCGCCUACAAUCUCCGAUCCAGUAGAUUUUUAACCUCCAGCAACAAAAUCAACCAGUUUUCUUGUUCUUAAUCCAUGAACUAACCCCAAAAUACCAACUAACCCGUUAUUCUCGUUUUUAAUCUUCAGAUCAUAAAAUUUUAAACCUUCAACAACAAAUUCAACCAGUUUUCUCAUUUUUAAUCCAGCAACUAAUCUCAAUAUGCCAACUAUUCCAUAAUCUCCUUUUAAUCUCAUGUUCAAUUUUUACACCUCCGGCACUAAAUUCAACCAGCUUUCUCCAUAAACAAACCCCAAUAUGCCAACAAUAAAAAAAAUUAAAGAACCCUAGAAACCCACCAAGAUUUUAAGCAUAAUUACUUUAAAAACGUUUCCUACACAAUUUUAAAUCCCCAAAAUCGAUAACACAACAAGGGAAUAGAAAAACCCACAAACAAACGAGCACGAAAUGUAGUCAAUUGAGCAUAGGAUUCCAAAAUUGAAAUUAUUAUUAUUAUAUAUUAUGAUUAAAAAUAAAAAGAAGGUGAAGAAAUAGAAAAGUAUGAACAUAUUACCGCUUCCGGUUUGCCGAUGAGUUUGGCUACAGUGGAAGUGGCUUCAGAGAGGAUGGAGGAGGUGUCAAUGCCCUCCAGGCUCACGUUAGUCGACAGAUUCAGGCACGGCAUUUUUUCCAACAAAAUAUUUCUCUCUCGCACUGAGGCCACACACACUGGUAUGUUCUCUAUUUUGUUAUCCAAAGAGGAAAAAAGUAAAAAAUAUUCGAAACACUAUUCUGAUUCAAUUCUGUGCUCCAUUAGUGCUAUUUAUGUUCAUUUCCAACCAUGAAAAAAAAAANAAAAAUAUUCGAAACACUAUUCUGAUUCAAUUCUGUGCUCCAUUAGUGCUAUUUAUGUUCAUUUCCAACCAUGAAAAAAAAAAACCUAAUUUAGUUCAUGGGCCAAUCCAGCCCAAUAAUGACUAUUAUGAAAUAUUAAAAUGACUUUUAUUCCUUCAUGAAUACUCUUGAUACAUGCUAUCAUAAAUUAAGAUAGCAAAUUGAUUCGAUUUUUUCAUCAACUUCGGCCAAUCACGUGAUAGGUCAACUGACCAAUAACUUGAAAGUCACGUUUGACUCUAGAUUAAAUCCAACUCGUCGCGGAGAAUUUUCUACUUGAUUCCAACCAAACUCAAAUCAUAUGGUAUUGUAUUGAGUUUGACCAAGUUUCAAAUGUCACAUAACAAGGAUUGAUUGGUUUGUGUGUGUGUGUGUGUUUUUUUUUUCUUCUUUUCUUUUUUUUUUUUAUGCACGCUCAAUCAUAUUUUAAGAUAACAAUUUGCCCAAAUUAAACUUUUUUGAUCGGUACACACUUUUUUUUCUUCACCUUUUGCAGACCGCUUGACAAGUCAAUUGGCCUAUGAUCAUUGCUCUCUUUGCUUUCCCACACUUGUUUGCACAAAAUUUAUAUUUAUUCCUCCUUCUCCAUUGAUGUGAGCAAGAUUGAAAUAGACUCCUGAGUCUUGUCAAACUUUACUUUAAAUUAGAAUCUAGCUUAUUUUGUGGAAUUUUCAACUUGAUGCCAACCAAAACGAAUCUAAUUACAUGAGUUUGGCCACGUUUAAUCUUUGUAUCCAAUAUGAUUCUACUUUGACUAUGAUCGAGUUGAAAGUCAUGCAUAAUAUGUCAUCUUAUCUAGUGAUCUUGUUUUAUUCAUCUUGGAAAAAUCUCAUACAUAUGAAUGAGUUUCACCUGUCCGAAACCCUUUUUAAGUCCUUACGGUUGAUUUUAUAUAUUUUGUCAUCUAUUAAGUUGCCAGUAUUUGUAAAAGCAGAAAAGUAAUAAAUAAAUUUGCAUUGUUCGCAUUUUUUUCUUCUCCAGUUCAGAGUUUUCAAGGGAAAAAGGCCGUACCACUUUGAUCUGGAUUGAGUUUUGCAAUGAACCUGCAAACUUCUUACUUGUAAGGAAACCCGAACAAAAAUCGAUUUAUUGCAAGACAAACCCAACUCAGCCGGCUCGAUUCGAGUUGGUCAGUUCCUGGUCCAAAUGCCACACAUAGGUCAAGCUAUCAUGUUCAAUUUUGUCAGAUGAACAAGGUUUAUUCAUAUCUAAUGUGUCCACUAUAAUAAAGGUUUAGUAAUAUUGUACGCUAUAUUCCCCAAUUGAUGCUCGCCCUCGUACAAAGGAGAGAAAUUUAUCAACUUUUAGCAUUAAAAAAAUCCAUAAAAUAAAUUUGCCGACCAUAGGCUUGAAUAUAUUAUAACUGAUGGGAAUACUCCUUUUUUUGGUUCAAUGCCAAUAGACCAACCAAAUUAUUGCACCACUUUGUGGUUCUCUUUUAGCUAAUAUAAUAGGGUGUCAAUGCAACUCUUAGUGAAGAAGAAAAUCUAAAAACUUGUGGGCCAAUCGGGUUCAGCUUGUCUUGGCAAGGCCCAAGGUUGGCUCAGUCCACUGCCACCCUUGAGUCUGCCGUCGAAUACUUUUAUUACAUGCUUAAUUAUAGUUUAAGAUAACAAAGUAUACCAACUAAACAUCUCCAUCAAUGUCUCUGAACUUGUGCCCAACUAGGCAAGAAGUCGACUGGCCAACAAUCAUAUUUCUCUUGUUACGAUUAGCUCAAGAAAAAUCAGCCCUUUUUUCACAAAAUAUGAAAUAAGAAACUGAAGAUGAAAGAAACAUAAAGAAAAAAUGCAAGAACACGAUAUUUUCACCCGAAGGUAAGAGGUUCGGAACCGAAGUCCCUAAUCCCCUUUUGAGCUUCCGUCACCGGAAGGAAUCACUAUAUUAACCGGAAUUCCAAAUAUUACAGUUCACAGUUCAUGGAACUCAGGCGAAAUCACAUCAAGACUUCACAUACAACAACCCACAGAGCAUAUAUUGAACAUCCACUCAAGGAUCGAACCCUAUGAAACCACUCAAGAUCUACUAUGGGGCUGUAAUAACAAUCAAUCUACAGGGGCUUUGUUUGAGUGCAAAAAGAAACGAAGAACCAACAAAAUGAGAGAGAACAGAGAGUUUGAGAGAGAUGGAGCUGGUAAAAAAUGAAAAGCCACUAAUUCCAUGCCCUAGAAGCCAACACAAUAUAGAAGCAGCUGAAAGAUCUCUCAUCAACGGUGAGAGAGGUGACACUUGGCAAGAUCUGGUGCAUCUGUUCUUAUUAACAAAAACGGGUUUAAUCAAAACACGUUUUUUUAUCUCAAUCCGGUCAGCCCAGUCAGCUCAGCUCAAGUGACAAAUGAUCCAGCCCACAAGCCCAUCAGUUUUAUUCCAGCUCAAUAAUCAUUGUGCCACAAUAAUUUUUCUCUACAUCUCUCUUUCUUUAAUCGUGCGCGUACAAGUUAUUCCUCCUCUAUACAUUGAAGUUAAGUAGAAUAGGUAGGGGUGGACAUUUUAAUCAAGAUCAAACCUUUCGAUUUGGAACCGAACUGGAAAUAUUCUACGAUUUUUUGUUAGAAUAAAAACCGGUCGGCAAUUUGGUUAAAUGGUAUCGACACAAGAACCAAAAAUUAUUGUUCAGUUUCGGAUCUUGAAACACCCAAAUUGGACCAUCCGAUACCUACGCUCUCAGAAUAGAGAGAGACAGGUGAAACUUUAUCAUACUUGAUAGUAGAUUAGUGUUCAACUUGUUUGGUAGAACUUUCAACUCAACCCCAAAUUCCCAACGAGGAAAAUCACUAAGUUUGACGAAAGUUUAAUUUUUUAUCCAAUAUGGUCGUAUUUGAGCAAAAUUGACUAUGAUUUAGAUAAAAAAAAAAUAUUCCACGUCAAUCUAGCCAUCUUUGUUUAGUUCAGCUUGGAAAAAAUUUCAUGCAUGUGAAUAAGUUUCAGAUUUUUGAAACUCUUUUUCGAUAUUUGUGGUCAAUUUUAUAUAUCUUUCUCCAUUAAAGUCCCUAGACUUUGUAUUAAUUUAAAAAGUAGAUAAAAGUAAAUAAUGGAUUCACAUUGUUCCUAACCAUAUUGGAAUUUUCAAGGGAAACAGCCACUCAACCAUUAGUACAUCUUCUGAAGAGGGUCGACCUACCAUGUCCAAUUUUUCAAAUGAAAAAGCUUUAUUAAUAUCUAAUGCCACUACUCGAUUGGAAGUCGAGUAAUAUUGUUCACUAUGUUUUCCUAAUGAACAAUUUUGUUAGAUCUUCAUACGACCACUUUAUGCACUAUAAUAGAAUGUAGAUUAUCAACUCCUAGCAUUCAACAGAUCCAUAAAAGAAAAUUCGCCAACUGUAGGCUUACAAAAUAUAUAUCAAAACAUCGAAAUUUUAUUUCAAAGCACGAAAAUUCAUUCAUAAAUUCAUAGUUUAAAGUUUGGAGUUUUGUCUCCCCAUUGUUGUAUCAAACACCUUUAGGACAAAUCUUGUUCUCGGAAUAUACAAUUUGUUCUCUAAAAUUGAACCAAGUGUAGCAAUCAGCUUCCUUUUUACUUCAGUGUUGAUGCCACCCAUUGAUACAAUUUCUGCCAAUGCUGCUGGUUCCUUAUUCCCUCCAAAUGUUAAGGUUACAGAACCUUUUAACAGAAUCAUCACAAACUACGAAAACAGAAACACACAAUUAGUAGAAAAAGAAGUUCGAAUCCUAUAAAGAAAGGCUUGGAUAAUAAACAUAAGGGCCAAUAAACCGUAAAGGUAAAGUAUAGAAUUUGUUAUACAAAUUGUCAUUGUCUUCUUGCCUAAAGCAUAUGACAGAAUCACUAUCAGCUCGACCCAGCUCUGAUCUUAAGUUGCAUAAAAAAGUGCAAAAUUAAGAUAUCUGUAUCACUUGCCCGACUAACUAUAUAUAGAAGAACAAGUAAUAUAGACAUUCGUUUUGCACUUUUACUACACAACUUUUAUCCAACUUCAGUUCCUAAGUCAAGGAUCGGGGUUUCAACGUCACAGAAAUCUCGCACUGGUGUAAGCUGAUAUCGAUGGUGACUUGCUCAAGGAAGCUUUUAUACAAGAAGUAAAAGUAAAAGUCCUGUCAAAUGGAUCCUAAAUAAAAGUUGGAUUUGUGGGAAGUGUCAAAAUUUUCUUAAGUGUGGUAGGUUAUUCUUUACUGAUUCUAAAACUUCUUUCUGCAGUCAACAUUUCUUUAAUGGUUAUUGAAAAAUUUAGAUUAGAACUUGCUCUAACAAUUUAAAUCAUUAUACAUAUUUUGUUUUUCAUAAAACCUGUCAAAUUCAAGAAAUAGCACUGUUCAUAUGAUGUGAUUCUCCUUCCAAAUAUCCCUCAAAAAUAAAAGAAACCCCCCAAAGAUCAAUAUAGUCCUUCCAAAAAGAUACCUGAAAUGCAACUAUAAAUCUAAAUUUUUUAGUUCUAUGUAACGAUUAAUUCAUCUAAAAGAUUAAGUCAUUAGAGAGACAAUAAAUUAAGCUGAUACAUAAAUUUCUCAUAAAUAGGAAGUUGAAAAAAUUGAACUCACAGCGUCUGUUUUCCCUUAACACCAUUUCAUUUAGCUAAAACCAAGUCAUCUUCAACACAACGGCCCAAAUUGAUUGGACUACUCACUCCUCUCUUUGGUUCAAUGCCAACAGACUUGCUGACAAAAGUAAAACUGUCAUUUGAUAGAUUCCUUAAAUUAGAACUAUUCCUCCAAAUUAUUGCACUAGCUUGUGGUUCUCGUAUUGCCCUCCCUUUUAGCUAAUAUAUGGUGUCAAUGCAAAUCUUAGCUAAAGGAGCAAAGAUUUCAGUUCUUAGGUACGUUGAAUAUUAAAAUAAAAAAUAAAAAAAAAAUUCCAAGGGCCCACAAACCUUUUAUCUUUAAUUUUACGUGAGAAAAGAAGAAACUUGUAGAGUUUAGAUCAUCUCCAACCCUGCAUCAAAAUUUGCACAAUUUUGCACCUAAUAGAAAAUCAUCUUCAACCCAUUACACAAAAAGUUGCAUAAAAUGAAUAGUGUUUAAUAAUUUUCUUUAUUUUUUAAUUCUUAACAAUUUAUUCAUCUCAAAAAUUAUUUAUUUGUUUAUUCAUUUUUUUACUACAUAAAUUUUAAAAUAAAUCAUUACGUUUAGUUAACAAAAAUACUGAAUUCAUUAAUAAGUUAAGAAAAUGUAGCACAAUUAUUAGGAACAUACAAGAAGUAAGAAAAUAUUAAAUCAUAAUACUAAAAAAGAGUGUAAUACGUUUUGAAUCACAAUAUCAUGAUAGUACAAAGUCGAAAUAGUAUUAACAAUUAAUUAUCAUUGAUUACAGAUGCAUGUAAUAAUAACAACAACAACAACAAUAACAAUAACAAUAACAAUAACAAUAAUAAUAAAUUUAGAAUUAAAAUUUAUUGUAUAACAAAUGGACAAAUAUACCCUUAAAAAAUUGGUGCAAAGUGGAAGAAAAGGGUAAAAAUGUAUUUAACCAUUUUGGUGGUGCAAUACUAUUCAUUUGCACCAUUUUGGUGCCAAUAGGUUGGAGGAGAUUUGCACCAAAAAUUUGAUGCAAUUCGGUGAAUUAUGGCGCAAUGGGGAUGGAGUUGGAGAUGCUCUUAGGGCGUUGCAAAUAAGCAUAGAGUUGUAUAUUACUAUGAAUCACCGAAUUCUUAAACGGAAAUGACAAACUUAAGUCAGUCUUUGCACGUGCACGUGGAAUACAUUUAUCAUAAAAUGCCCAACAUAUGCACAAUUUUUAUCAAAGGGGGAUGGGAAAACAGGAACCUUUAUCCGGUGGUGAUUGAUCGAAUGGUCCUCUCCCUUGUUUGUAAAGAACAAUUGGUAAAAGGAAUGAACUUUUGAUAAUUGGUUGAUUUGAAAUGUUGGUUGAAAUAGUUAGAAUAAUGAAUCAAUGCGUCUGUUAUCCCCUCUUACUUUCCCUUUUUAUUGAAUUGUCAAUCCCUAGCUUAAAAGCUUCGAGGUUUCAAGAAACUGCUCGAAUUCUAGCAAAAACAGCUCUUGGGAUCGAGCAAAACACUUAAAACCACAGUAUAUAAACUGAGUUUAAUCAAGAUCAAUACUUAAAACCACAGUAUAUAAACUGAGUUUAAUCAAGAUCAAUUUCCUUCUCCCUCCCAUUCCAUCAAAUCCACAGUACUUAAUUGCUUAAAAUCUUAGUUUUCAAGAAACUGCUACACUUUAAGCAAAAACAGCUCUUCAGUUGGAGCAAGAUCCUUAAACCACGGUACAUAAACUCAGAUAAAUUUCUUCUACCAGCACCAUUGCCAAGGUUAUAUAACAAAAAAUUCUUGUCUGAAAUCUAACAUGACCAAGCCCAUAAUUAUUACAACAUUAAUCCCACAGUAAUAGAGAGAAAGACAGCUUACUUUUUCAGGUUUUCCGAUGAUUUGAGAAACAGCCUUUGUGAGUUCGGAAAAGAUUGAAUCUGUGUUGAUUCCAUCGAGGUUAACGUUGGUUGAAAUAUCAAGACAAGGCAUUUUCCCUCUUUUUUUUCUUGAUUUCUCCUGUCUGUAGGGACUUUUGCUUAUAAUUUUUUUGUGGGCAACUCCUUUUUGUCCACUCACCUUCAUAUAAUUGCUUAUUUAUGGACAAAUUUUAUGUCACAAUCAAGAAUGAUGACUGCCCACCCCAUUGAACAACCUAGUUUCAAUUGAGGUUGCUCUUCUUUUAUUUUACCUGGUUUUGUGAAAAAAGAUUUUUUUCGAUGGGUUUUGAGCAUUUUUCCUAAAUAACUCCAACACAACGAGACGUGUUCAUAUUGUGCAUAUAUUUUUACCAAUACGAAGAAAAUUAAGUUAGCCUCAAUUUGAAGUGAAGUUACUUCACUUUUUGGUCGGUUGUCGACAAGUAGGAAUUCUAACUCUCAAUAUGGUAUCGAGUUGAAUUAUCAUACAUACUAGGAAGAUUCAAAGUGGCAAAACAUGUUUCUCACGAAUUUAAUAGGACUUUUAAAGAAUUAUCAGUACAAUAUAAGUCAUUAUAGACUUAAUUAACUCGAAUCUUUGUAGCAGAAAAAGAUUAUGUAACCGACUUCAUAUUGAUUUACAAUAUGAUUUUAUCUGUCGCAACUUAUUAAUAUUGCAUUACUUGUAAAUAAGCAUAUUUUGAAUGUAUAUUUUGUGUUCCUAUUACACUCUUAGCCUCUAAAGGAUACCUCAUUCAUUUCGUAGAGGCUAGAACCUUGAAUUCUAAGUUCAAAAUAUAUAUGAUGCGAAGUGCUUACAAAGUUAAAGACAUUUGGCCCCGGGGGGCGGGGGUUGCAAAACUGGGGUGGGGGGUCCCCAACUACUUGUGUUCUCACUCAAUAACUUUACAACUUGUUGGUUGCAUUUAUGUAGUUCUUGUCCAUACAUGAUGUUGAAAGCUAGCAAUUUCGACAAAAAUGUUCAGACAACUUUAGUGUCUGUUUGAUACCCAUUAAUUUAUUUUAUGAUUCGCUAAAGAUUAUUUUCAACUAAAUAUUUCACUGUAUCAAAAAAAAUUUCCUACUUUUUAUCUACUCAUUCUCCAAAAAAUCACUAUUCAAAACUUUUUUUUUUCCCCAACAAUAAUAGUUGUCAAACAAGCUCUGAUAUACCCCCAAGUUGAUGAUAAUGUAGGCAAAUCAAGAUUGGAUUUUUUGAUUGUCACUUUCAAUUGUUGGACCGAAACAAAUAAAUUAUUUGAAAGGAGGUUUUGUAUUGAAAUGUUCGUGAAUAAAAGUUGUGUUAUUCGACAUACGUAAAUUGUGUCAUAAACGUGUCUAGUUCCAAUAUUGAAGAGUAAUGUACAAGAUAGCCCAAAAAUAAAAAAUAAAUAAAAAUCAACUUUUCCUAUAUAUUAUGUUUAGUCCAAUACAGCAAAGAUAUGAUAAAGAAGCACUAUAUUUGUUACACUAAGUGAUUGCUCCACUUUAUUUCAUGUAAAAUAAUAUAUCCUCUUGUCCACUUUUUGGCUUGAUGCGAGCAAUUCGUUACACUUUUCUUCAAAUUUAAUAUAGUACAUACAAAUAUUUAGCAUAUAAAAAUUAAAUAUGUGAGAAACUGCUAAUAAAUCAAACCAUAUAAAAUAUUUGAUAAAUUUUUAAUUAGCUUAUCAAAUUGUUAUAAAACGUGUAUUUCUGUCUAUUUUUUAAUUAUUUAUCAAUUGUUAUAUUUGCAAAACAUAUAAACUUUGUAUAGAAAUAAUUAAUUUUUUUAAUUUUUCAAAUAUUCUAGCAAUAUUUAUAAUGAUCUUAUGUAACUCAAAAGUAUACAGAUCUCUAUUCUAAAAAAUAAGAAAGAAAGAAAUGAUUAUUGUGUUCCACUAUGGUAUUUGUAAUUGACCUUCCAUGUUAUUGGACUUAAAUAUUAUUUAAUUAACCGUAUCUCUUUUAUUUAAACACAUAGUCCGUUAAAUCUGUAUCUCUCUUAUUCAAAUAACUUUUAGUUAAAAAGGUCAUUCAAUUGUGUGUUCCACUUGCAUAAUAAAUGCCCUCUUAUCUACUGUCAGCACUAAAUUACUUCCUCCGUUUCAUUUAUGUAGAUUAGUUUUAUUUUUCACAGGAAUUAAAAAAUCUUAUUUAAUGUUUUUUAAAGUGAUUUAUGCCAAAAACAUUUCUAGUUUACCUAUAUUUAUAUUUGUACAGAUUAAAUGAGAAAAAUUAGUUAUAAUCAGAUAAAUUAAAUAUGAGUAUAUUAGUAAAUGAACAAAAUAAAACAUUUAAAUAUGAGUAUAUUAGUAAACGAACAAAAUAAAACAUUCUCAAUAAAGAAAUAUGACUAUAUAUUUGGAAUAAGAAAAUAAGAAAAAUCAACUUAUAUAAACGGGAAGAAGAGAGUAAUUUAUCGUGAAUAGUAAUACAGCCACCUAAGUUUACUCUACCAUUCUUUACCUUAAUUAUGAUAAUCUUAUCGACUCCCGAGGCAUAGCUUAGUGGUGCAAAGGACAGGAGUGAAGUUAUCUCACGCCUUGCUGACAGUCGCAGUGUGAGGAUUCAAUUCCUGAAACAUGGAAUUGGACUCCUUGUAGACGCAGUGUACAGACAGCUCUUGUUCCUUGAUCUGUUGGAGCACAUUCCGCGAUUUACCUCCCUCACCAAGCUCUAAGGGCGGGACGGUGGGAACCCUCAAGGUUGGGGUUCAACCUUUUUUUUUUUAUGAUAAUCUUAUUAAUUUUUUCACAUAAACAAUAAUAAAUUACCUAGCCUAGCAACUGUAUUUGUGGCAUUAACUCAUAAUAACUAUAAUAAUUUUUCUUGAAAUCUGAGAGAGGGGACCGGGCUAAAAGAGUCGCAAAUCGAGGAGACCAAUGAAGAAAAAAGAGAGAUGAAAACAGGAAAGUCCACUUGUCGUUGUCCAUUUGCAAUCAAACAAACGUUUCAUCGUAAGGGGGGAAAAAUAAUAAAAUAAAAAAAUAAAAAAUAAAAGAGGGGUGCCCAUCAAUUAUCAAAACAUUGGAAUAGCCCAAAAUUUGUCACUAAUUUUAUAAGAGUCUAAUCAAUAGCCAGAUCCAUUAAAAACAGAAGUUCCCAAGAAACACAUUGCUUAUCUCUGGUGUCCAUUGCACUGUACAAUAGUAUUUAAUCUCUAUAAACCCAUCCCAGAGCUUUCCAAAACAAUGGAUAAUAAGGAAACUUGCUUCAAAAUUCUCUCGUUUUAUCAAUUUCGACCCACUUUUAACUCUCUCCCAAGACAAUAGCCGAGGCGAAGCACCUUUUACCAACGGCCUUCAAGUUUGUUUCUUGCCAACCUCGGCCCUCGUAUCUUUCAAUCUGUCGUUGCAUUUCUAGUGUCAGCUAAAUGAAUACGUGUUGUGUAAAGAAAGAAAAUUCAUGAAUGUGAAAAAAGGCCAAAAAUGUACGAACAUUGUCCACUGUGCCAUUAGCAGUAUCAGCGCCACCAAUUACAUAUAUGGAUUCGUUUAGAAUGGCAGUAGCUGAGUAUCCCCUGGCUCGGUUAAGAGGCUCAUCUGUCAUCCACUUUCCAAGUCGGGGGUCGUAUAUUUCCAUGCUGCGCACCAUCUCAAUUCCAUCAUAGCCACCAAUGGCGUACCUGAAGGGCAAUAAUCCAUCUUAAGUAAAGUAUUCGCUUAUAAGCACUUAAAAGCACUACCAAACAAACAUUUAAUGAGAGUCACUGCAAGUUUUCGAGACAAUUGUAAGUCAAUUACCUUGUUAAUCUAAAACUUGGGAAGAAUCUUAAAGUCAUACUUACUUUCUAUGAAAUACAGAUUACCAAAGAAAUCUAUAAAAAGGAUCCUCCAACAACCCAAUGGCACAUCCGGAUGGAGUGAAAAAAGACAUACACGCUCUUAAUAUCUCGAGACUAAAUAGUGAAAACAGACAAAGAACUUACAACUUCUCAUUCAUGACAACCAAUGAAUGACAACCUCUUGGUGUUUCCAUACUUGCAAUCCUAGUCCACGAGUGUUCUCUUGGGUCAAAUCUUUCAGCAGACCUGACACGGGUGGUAGAUAAUCUUGGAGAAGCUACUUUCAUAAAGUUUGUAAUAAUUUAAAGUUAAUCGAAAUCUCGAAAGCAAUAAAGCAAGGCACACAUAGAAACAGAAACUUAUAGUUGUUCCCUCUCAAAGUAAGAGCCACAUUCACUUGCUGCUACAGAAAUUCCACUUUAAUCUAAAGGUUUAAUAAUGGGGAUUUGAGCCUGUAAGUGUAUAUUACGUUCUACAUAAAAUAGGGCUCUGCUAAUAUCCUUUGUAUGGUAGAAACAUUAUGGUAACCUGAUAGAAAUAUGAAUGUUCAUAUGCUAUAAUAGUAACUUUGAAAAAUAAAAAUAAUGAUCCCCAUCUGAAUUUGUCAAGAUCAUGUCAUCUUUCCAGAGCAACUAAGGCUCCAUUGCAACCCUCACUUUCUGUUGCUUGCACCUUAUAGUUAACAGAAAGAAGGAAAUAUAAAAUACAGUGACUUCAAAACUUACUUCAAAUAUUCUUUACCAUCAUAUCCACCAACAGCAUAGAUUGCACCAUUGUACUCUGAUGCAGCAAGAGAAAAACGCUGAAAAAGAAAACAGUCAUCCGAGGGCACAUCAAACAACAAUGAUUUAGACUUCAAGAGACAGCAAAUAAUGACGGAUAAAAUCUACUAAACACAUUUAAAAAGAGAGAGAGAGAGAGAGAGAGAACAUACAGACAAUAUUUUACAUGUUUGCAAAAUAUUUCCAUCAUAUCGCUUGUGAUGGAUAUCAGCAUUGGUAAUAAGACUCGUAACAUCACUUUCUCUGGAUCGAAAUACUUUAUAAUGUUUAGGACUCUUAUCACUCAGAAUUUAUUUCUUAACCAUACAUGUUGAUGUUACCAAUCAAACCAAACAUAAAAUGUCGAAACUUCAACACAAUUUUCAAGUAUCAUGAUAAGUGUAUAAUAUACAUUUAUUCGGAGCCUAAAAUAGCAAUAUUUGAUAGUUCUUUUGACAAAUAUAUCCGAAAUUAUUGUAUUUUAUGUUAUAUAGGUAAAACUCAAUUAUUGAACGAGAAAUUGAAAGGAGAAAUUGGUGAAAAAAGGUGAAAUCCAAAGUAUGGGGACUAAAUUUCAACAUUUCAAUAGUUGAUUCAGACGAUGAAACGAAGAUUGAAGAUGUUAUAAGUUUAAUUGGACACAAUUAAAGUUAAAGGACCGAAAUUGCAAGAGAAAAUGACUUAAAAGAAUCAAUAAUCGAAUUCAGGGGCCAAAACGCAAAGUUUGAAAUCCAAGUGACCACUCGACUUAAGAAAUAAAAAGCAGUGACUUCAAACUUGGCCUGGGCGAGUACUCAGAUUUUGCCUUGGCAAUCUAAGAUCACGACCAGUUUUUUAUUCCACAUUCUACAUGAAAACCACUUUCUUGUAUGAUAUUGAACUAAUUUCACCUUUAUAAAUACAAAACAUUGGCAGUCAAUAUAAAACAUCUCUCAUAUACACAAUAUACUCCAAUAUUCCAUCAAUUCAUACACUAAAGGAAAGGCAAAUUCAUAGUUUUCGUGAGAGAAUUUGCAAGAAUUCAAUCAAAUGAACAUUUAAUUGAUUUUUGGGCAAAGGAGAAAAUGCGCAAGUGGAGAUUCAUCAAAAAACUAUCAAAGAGAUUCAAGAUUUCAAAAUUCAUCUUCAUCUUUUCAAUUUAUCAAAAAUUCAAGUUAUGUCUUUUCACUUAAAUAUGAUUUCUUGUAAUUUCAAUAUGUUAGUCUUAUUUUGUACAUUGCUAGAAUGAAAUGAACCAUUGCUUUGAUAUUUUUAGUUUUUAAUUAAUUAUUUUUACUUUAAUUUGGUUUGAUUUGUGGAUAUUUAUUAUCGUUUUUAUCGUUCUUUUCAAUUGUUUGAUCAUCAAUUGAAUUGUUAGUGAAUUUUAUUGUUAUCGAGAAAAACAAUAGAGUUUAAGUACAAUAUAAUAAACAUUGUAAAGUUCGAUGGAUGAUAGAGAUAUACCUCUAUACUUUAUAUGAUUUCAAUGGAUGUUCUAGUACUUGUUAAUGCAUUUAUCAUGUUUGCAUCUUUUAUCGAAAGAUAGAAUUGUCACAUGAGAAGAAUAGAUUUAAUCGUUAUCAAAAGAUGCUUUCAAUUAAAUCAAGAACAUUGAUCAAUAUGAAUGAUUUCAAAUUGUCAUUUUAAUUUUUACACUAAAAUUGAAAUAACAAUGGGGAUUCAACAUCUUAACAAUGCAUUUCACAUAUUUAAAAAACACAUUUAUUUGCUUUCACUAGUUUAAUUGAUAAUUUAGGAAUUAGUAUAGAAAAAUCACAAAACUUGUUUACUAUUAGAUUAAACUUGCAUUUAAUUUUAACUCGGUCAAAUAUAUAGUUCUCGUGAGUUCGACACUCUAUUUAUCAUUAUAUUACUAGACCACGAUCCCGUGCACUUGCGGGUUUCUAAAUGAUCAUACCAUAAAGAUGAAAUGCGUUGCAAUUAAGAAGAAAAAAGAAACUAAAUAAGAAAAGCACCAGCCUAAAAUUGUUAUAUAUUGAAGCAUGGAUUAACUUUUAUAUCUUCAGCAAAAAGCUAGAGUCUACAAAGUCUUGAAGUUUAACAGAGAAAGAAGUACAGAAAAUGUAAAAAAAUUCUUCUGUUGGAACAAUUCUUUAUAAAUUAUGAUCAAUAUAAUCUAUGAUCUUUAUCAAUAAGUAUAUUUAAUUUAGUAAGUCACCUUUUGUAGCAUAGAGCGUGUCGAAAUCCAUCGUCCAACUUCCGAAUCGAACAUUUCAACACAUGAAAAGCUUUCAACUCCAUUUCCUCCACCUAAUGCAAAGAUUUUUCCAUCUAACACAGCACUAGCUAAGUUUCCCUUUCUCUCAUUCAAGGGUGGGCGUAGAGUCCAUUGAUCGUUAAAAGGAUUGUAUGACUCAACUUAAAAAAAAGCAUAAAACUGUUAAGCGAGAGAGAGGGAGAGGGGAGGGGGGGAGAGAGAGGGGAGGCACAAGUAAACACCUGUAUCAUACCACAAAGCGCCAUUUCCACCACCAAAAACGUAAAGUUCUGCAUUUAACUUAGCAACUGAGGCAUAUGCUCGUACGGAAGACAUGGGCUUCAGAGAUUUCACCACAUCAUGUAAAGGUGAAUACGAAUGCAAUGCUGAUGACCAUGAUUCACCAUCAUAUCCUCCCACUAGAAAUAUUAAUUCAUCAAGAUUGAGGUGAAGUCCAUCAAAUGACACCACUGCUUCCUCAGCCUGUGUCACGAAAAGACACGACCCAGACUCCAAUGCCAUACAUCUAUUUUCCAGUCGAUAAAUUUCUUCUUCUGCUACAACCUGAAAUGCCAUGGUGAAAGGGAAUGUAAGUACCUGUCAGCAUUGAUAAUAAAAAGACUGACACAAUUUUGUCGAACAAACCAUUUAUGCAGCAAAGGUCCAAAGCAUAUUAUUGUGCAAGAAGAAGGCGGCAAAGCUUCAACUGUUAGAUGCUUCAGAGUAAAAGCUCAAAUAUAGAUAUUUCUUUAGGAAUGCAAUGAACCAAAAGAAGAAAAGUCAUGCAGGAGUAAGACUAUUUUCUCUAUAAAUCCUUUCUGGACUGCUAUUGUUAGAUUGAGUUUUUCUUUUUUAAUGUCAAGUUAGUAUUUUUUUGGUUUCCAACUGGUAUUAAGAUUACUUUUCCGAGUGAUUAAAGUCUUCCUAGUCAUAAAAUGUUUUGUACAUUGAUGUUUUCAAGAGCUUAAAAGGUCGGAAAAAUAAAACGAGGAGUUCUGAAAUUUAUGAAUUCCUCAUCGAGUAUAUUUGAAGAAACAGAAACUUUUGACUCAUAAGAAGAAAUUGAUACGGAAUAGCUAAUCCUUUUACUUCUAUAUGCCAACUAAACAAUAUAUAUAUAUAUGAUUUCAGUAGCUCAAAUCCAAAUCUUGAUUCUUUUAUACCUUUCACCUUUCAUUUUGUCCGAUUUUCAUAUAAUUCAAGAACUACACUGCCUACAUGAACAUAUAUCUAGCUUCCUUAUGAGUUUCAAUUUACUUCCUGGAAUAUAACGUGUUAAACCAUGUGAUGAAUCUAGGUUUUUCUUUGUUUUUUUUUUUUUUUUUUUUUUGGGUUAUAUAUAAUUUUUUUUUUUUUUUUUUUUUUUUUUUUUGGGUUAUAUAUAAAUCUGAAAUUUGCCGGUUUUUUCAUUAUUGCAAUUCUAUGUUUGUAAGCACCAAAAUACAUUUGAGAAAAAGGCCAAGGUCCUUGACAGAUUCCAUUCAACAUGGGUAAAAUAAUUGAUUACGUUUUUUAAGAGUUGUCUGUGAAAGAAAAUGUACCAGCUUCUUUUCUAAACUUUCCAUCUUCUGAGUUUGCUCUUUCUUGAAAGCCUUUAGUUCUUCAAUCUCCUGGCACAACUGCAUUCAACAUAUAAAUAUAGGAGUUAAUGAGUUAUAUAUCUCAAUGGGCAUAAGCAACAGUGGAUACAACAGCAUACCUGUGUUAUUACAACAGGAUAACAAGAUAAAUUAAAAGAACGUCCAUUAUUUCCCUCUUCUGAAGCCACUGGAGCUUUUUCAGCAGUUUCAAGCCCCAAAAAAUCAUCCGCUAUGGCAGAUUCUACUGCAUUUCCUUCCUUAACCGCAUCGGUGUGCCCACCAUUGGGUUGCAAUUCUUUUAAUUUCAUGUAGAUAAAAUUCUUUUGAUCAACAUCUACCAUUUGAUUUUGCAAGGCUGCCUCUGGGAAUUGGUUAUUUCCAUCCAAACACAGAGAAUCAUCUUUAGCACCCAUUGUACCAAUUGCAUCAUAGGAGAUUGCAAAAUUAUCUGUUGAAGAUGGUGGAUAUGAAGUUCCAUUCUCCUUUCUAUUGUCAUUUGAAGGGAACCUCAGCAACGUAGCUGUCCUAUUUUCUGCAAUUUGUGGUAUAAACGUGCUUGGAGAAACUGCUAAAGAAGAAAGUUUGGACAACAACUUGCUUGCUUGAGCAUGAUCCAGCUCAAACCAGAAAUGGUUUAGAGAGUAAUAGUUGUCAACGAUUAUUGGCUUAUACUGAAGUUCAGGAAGUGCUUGACAUUGAGUCCGCAUACGAAUCUGAACCUUUUUGCAUAAAAAACAAAUGAAACAAAAAUAAAACAUAAGGCUUUUCUAAGACAAGAAGCCAGAUAACACCAACAAAUCCAUCGAUUUCAACUAUAGAAAUUGUUGAACCACCUCAUUUAAAAAUUUAAGCUGAUAGAGAAGACAUGUUUAUAUAUUUAAAUUUAGCCCCUGUUUGAUCCCCAUUUUUGGGGAAAAUGUAUUAUGGAAUAGUGAUUUAUUGGAGAAUGUGUGGUUAAAAAGUAAGAAUUUUUUUUGAAAUACGUGUAUUAUUAUUUUAUAGAAGAAUGUGUGGUUGAAAAUGAAAAGUAAAAAAAUGCAUUCUUAUAAAAAUGGGGAUCAAACAGGGGCUUAGUCUUCUGCACAUCCCCUCAGGUAAAGGUUGGGUUUAUUUUUUCAUCAUAGACUUGACAUGUCCACAACUUCCAUAAAUGGGUGGAGGUGAAAUUUGAUCUCAUCUUUGCCUACUUUAAUACCAUGUUAUACCAUCUUAUUUAAAAGUUUAAGCAGUUAAAGGAAAAUAUUUAUUCAUUCAUACUUUAGUCUUCAACAUAAAAAACAAUAAACUCAAGGAGACUGCUAUACAAUACCUGAGCUGGAUAUGGUGUUUUCUCUGAACCAUCUGAUGUCCAUGCGUAAGGAUUGAUGUUCAGUUGGCCGCAGCUGGCAGCUUCAAAAAUACCAUGAAUUGUUCUAUCGCUGUAGUUAAACAAAAACAGCGGCAAACCGGGCUCUAUAUUUUUUACAUACACAAAGUGAUGAGCUGGGAGGCCUAUUGAACAUUAAAAAACAUACAUGAGUCUCAGAAUAAAGAUUCUAAACUCUAACUAAUUAUACGAUUGUCUUUUUAACAUAUUAGUGUUCAUAAGAUGUUAUUUAUUCUUAAUUAAGAUUCAACAAGGAGGGUUUUACUGCAUUAAGCACUCAAAUAUAAUAACUAACCAAAGAGUUGUUUAGAGAGGCAUUCUCUGAAAGUUCCUCUCGUGCAACCAAAUAUUACACCUCCAAGCUGACUUUUUCUCAAAUUUCUAGCUGAUGCAGCAUAAGACGCCUUCGAUGCAAACGAAGGUGAAGCUUCAUUCAGUACAAAUGUCUGUGUUUUCUUCCCACCUCCCAUUUCUUCAAAGAGAGAGAGAUGUAAAAUAAAAAUAGUGAACCGGAUACAGCUUGAAUCUAGAGUAAAGACUUCAAAUUGCAAUAACAUUAAUUAUCUGAACACAACAAAAUGUGUAAUGAAGAAAUGAACAUUGAGAAAUGGAAAAAAUGUCUUCUGAAGCCAAAGGGGUGAAGAUCAUUAUGUAAAACAUUAAAUACUAAGGAGAUUUGGGAAAGAGUAACGUAAUUUGAUCAUCAUUUGUUGAUGCGUAAUAAAUGCUACAACAAAAAUUCAAAUCCAUUCACAAAUAAAAAAGAUGAAAAAACUGGAAAUAAGAAAUCAUCCAAACACGUAUACGUAGAGUGCUGAAUAACAAAUCUGACUUUCAAAUUCUAGAACUUCAGUUAUUAAGACUCUUUUGUACUACUUCUCAUUAAAAUAACAUUAUAUAUUGCACAAAAUCUUGACAAUAAGAAAAAGAAAGGGAAGUGUUACAGUUUAUCAUACUCAAAAUGAAACCAAACCAGAAUAUCCUUCACUCUAAACAUUGUUAAGGGAAAAUCUAAAUUUCAAAUCAAUCAUAAAUAGACUGUAAAGGAUACUGCUUGUAUAUAUUCGAAAAUUCAUUUUCAUCAUUCACUUGAAUUUGCAACUUUUAUAAAUUGAAAAGAUCUUAACCCUUGACAAAACUUUCCAUGAUUCUAUUUCCUAACUUUAAAAGGCGAUUAUUAACAAACAUUAAGAAAAGGCUUGAGCCUUAUCACUUAUCACUAAGAGAUUUACUUCCUAACUAUCUACCUGUAAACACUAAGCUCAGAACAACAAGUAUGCAGUUACCAUGAUUAGAAACCCCCCCCCCCAACCCUAAGAAAUUUGUAACCAUUAACAAAGCUUUCCCUGAUUUCUCUUCCUAUAACUUCAAAAGCCAUCGACUAACAAAUAUCAAGAAAGGGCUUAAACAGAACCAGCCUUCCCUGUUAUCUCACUAAGAGUUUUACUUCAAAACUAUCAACCAAUACCAGAAAAACGAAAAAUCAUGCCCCCAAACAACAAAUAAGCAAUCAUCCAUGAUUACGCCCGCCAUCCUAACAAAUUUGUGCGUAACAAUCAUCAUAAUCCUUCCCAAGCAAAAAAAGAAAGGAAUUUCCCAUCCACAUUGAACCUCCUAGGCCAUAGAUAUAACAAUGUGAACGUCCACAAAGCGAAAACUCAAACCUCAAUGGGUAAAUUCGACUGUCACUUCAAAGAAACUGAUAAGAACCAAAACCCAGAAGUGCAACAAUCGUACUAAAAAUUCUCUCUGAUGAAAUUCAAAAUGCAUUCAAUAAAAAUCGAAUAAAGCAUUUUUUUUUCUACAACGGCAAAUAAAAUGGAAGUAAAACAUGAUCCGAUUACACGAUCCACACCAAAAUGAAAAUAAUAAUAAUAAUAAUAACUAAAAAGAAAAGGAAAUAACUCCAAACCCACAUAGCAAAAUAACCCAACUCGACAUUCAAUCAAUCCACAUUCUUAAAUCAAAUAAAUGAAAUAACAAAAAACCAUUUUUCCCAGCAUACACAUUUAUGUGCUUAUGAAAUUAAAUACAUGAUUGUGUUAUGCAAAUUUCCUGGGCAAAGAACCUGUAUAUAAAGUGUAGGUAGAAGACUGAGACACUCCCAGUGAAAGACAAAGCGCGAAAUAAUCUCUUGCUUUUAAUAAUGUAAGUUUGAUGGACAGAGCACCCAGGGCGCAGGUUAGCAUCUGCACCUACAAGGUACCUUCAUUAUUUGUGUUUUUCCCAUAUAAAAAUUAGGAUAAUACUACAUGUACACAAUCUUUUACACACUACUCACAACAUAAAGUGAGGAUCACAGCUCGAAUUAUUUAAUAACAGGUGGGACCCACAUGUUUGUGAGGAGGUGUAAAUCAUUUGGUAACCCCCUCAUGUGUACAUAUAUCUUUAUCCUAAAAAUUAAGAAAAGAGGUUUCAUUUUAUUGGGGAAAAUUGUGGCAGAGCCUUCAAACUUUUAAAAUAUUAGCAGUCUUUUUUCAAACUUUUAAUUUGUUACAACCGUCAUCCCAAACCUUUCAAAAUAUUGCAACAGAGGCCCUUUUUAACUAUUUUCAUCCAAAUGUCUAUUAGUUAACAAAAAAAUUUGAUUUUAACCAUAUUUUUAAUAUUUUUAAAGGGUAAAAUAGUAACUUUUCAUUUAUUACAUUAAAAUAAGUUAGAAAUUAGAAAAUAAAAACCAAUAGUCUUUAUCCUCCCACGCCACCCCACCCCCAACCCAAAAUCACUUCCCGACCACCUCCACCUCCACCUCCACCUCCAUUCCCAGCCAUAAAGACUCAAAUCAUAAUGUACCCACAGAAAUAAGUUUGGAAGGGAAGAAUGAGGAUUAUAGAGAAAUUGAGGUUUUAUGGGUGGUUGCCUCUCUCCAAAGUCGAUAAUUUUUAGUCAACUAACAGAUGUUUAGAUGAAAAUCAUCAAAAAUGGCCUCUGCCACAAUGUUUCGAAAGAUUUGGGGUGACGGUUGCAACAAAUUAAAGGUUUUAGAAAAGGCUGCUAACGUUUUAAAAGUUUAAAGUCUCUGCUGCAAUUUUUCCUUUCAUUUAAACACGUUUUUAUGUGAAAACCCUCCAAUUGAGGAAAAAAAGAAACACACAUUUUCUCCUUCGAUUUACGCCUUGAAUAGUUAAAAUUCACCCUCCAAUUGAGGAAAAAAAGAAACACACAUUUUCUCCUUCGAUUUACGCCUUGAAUAGUUAAAAUUUUCUUAAAAGAAUGACUUAAGGGAUUUAGAGCACUUCGAUACUGGCUUUAUCCAUGAUAAAAUAUCACGAGUUCAAAUUUUUUUUAAGAAAAAUAUUUGACUAUAUUUUGCUCAUAAAUACAUGCCACCUACAAAUUUCAUCUAUUAAUAAUUUUUCGCUUUUUUAUUAUGAUGGUUUGAGUAUUAAUAAAUUUUCAUUAUAUUGAGAUUCUUUUAAUAAAGGAAAAGGUCAAUGACAUUUAAAUUCAUUUUUUCUUAUUAAUUGAAGAUUUUAAAGACUAUUUUUUUUUUCUCCAGAUUGCAGAAAAAUUUUCAUUGUUCAUUUUUUAAGUGGAAUUGAAUGAUUAAAUGUUUAUAACAAUAUAUCCUCACAUUCUUUCGUGAAGAUUUUAAUUAAUUACAAGAGUUUUAUGUACACAAAUUCAAUUCAAUAAAGUGGAUAAAUCAUGUCCGUUAACUCCCUAGUAUAUACAAAUGUUCUAGAUAUGUUUUGUGCGUUGUAUAAUACGAUAAAAGAAUAUAUACUUUACAUUUUUAUAUUUUAUUUUAGAAAUAAUAUAUUUUAUUGUUACAUACAAAAACUUAAACCUAUGUAUGGUCUAUAGAAGCAAAUUAGAACUUUCAAUAAGAAAUUUUCAUUCGCGAAGUGUCUAAAAAUAACUUUGCAGAGUAAAUACAAAAUAUAAACAUCUUAAAUAAAGAAUUAAAUUAAACAAAAUAAAAUAAUUUUAAAGCAUAUGCACGAAUAAAUUAUUACUCGCAUUUAUACAACACUUAGGCAAUGUUUGAUAGCUAUUGGAAUUCCAUGAAAAAUGGAAUUUCAAUUCCAUCUUUUACCUUUCAUUGUUUGAUAGCAUUUAUUUUCUCUAAAAUUCAUUUUCUUACUUUGUUACCACCUCAAUCAAAUUCCAGCUUUUUGAUAAAUUUGAAUUCUCACCAAAAUGGUGAGAAUCCAUUUUUCCGGUUAUAGGAGCUUUUUUUUUCCUUUUUAUUUUUAUUUUUUUCAACGGAAACAAAUUCUAAGAAUUAUUGUAAAAAAAUAUUUCCCUUUAAUUGACAAUUUUCAUGUAAAACAAAGUUAAACAAACACCAAAAGAUAAAUAUUUUCUUGAUUUUUUUUUUGCAGUGGAAACAAAUUAUAUCCCCAAUACCAGUAAAUUUUUUGAACAUAUGAGGUACUCUAUCAAUUUUGACAAUUCUCUCUCUCUCUCUCUCUCUCUCUCUCUCUCUAUAUAUAUAUAUAUAUGUUUUUUGUUUUUUUAUCUCUUUAAUUGACAAUUUUCAUGUAAAACAAAGUCAAACGAACACCAAAAAUACUUUUAUUUCAACAUUUUUCACAUGAAGAAUUAUACCAACAAACACAAUAAAUUGACAAUUCCCAGAAAAAUAAUUUUUAGACAAUUCAAUUUCAUAAAAUUCGUCUUCUUUCCACCCAAAUUCCAUCUUUGCAGUCAAAUUGAUCCUUAAUUUUGAAUUACCUUCCUUUUUCCAUUUCUCAUUCUACAUACAACGGGCUCAUGAUUAAAGAAUUAAGGGGUCAUUGAAAAAUGACUUUCAUCUUUAACAAGAACUUAUCGAGUGAAUUUAGAUUAAUUGGUUAUUUAACUAUAACCGAGCAUUUAGAAAGGAUGUUUUAUUUCAAUAGAAUUUUUUUUUUUUUUAAAGGAAUUUGAACCAUUCAUGUCAUGAACAAAUGUAAUAUGAUUUUAUAUACGUAAUAAUAUUGUUAGAUUUCAAUAAAUAUUAAAGAGAGGGGCAUUUCUUCCCCACGAUGGCGACAAUUGCAAGGUUAACGAUAGAGUGGUUGUGGUAGUGGUGGUGGCGAUAGCAAUGGUAAUUGCACGAUGAUAGUUUAAUUAAGUGACGGUAGGAUUAGAGUGGUGAUGGAUAUGGGUGGAGGGUAGCUAGUGAUGGCUCGGCUCGGGCUCGUGGCUCUUGAAAAACGAGCCGAGCUAGGCUCGCACGAACCCCUCACGAGCUCAUGUUUUUUUUAAAAAAAUUUUUAUUUGCACAUUUUUUGCACAUUUUUUUUUUAAUUUUUUCAUAUUUUUGCACAAGCUCGACUCGUUGGCUUGUGCCCAUGAGCGGCUCGACGAACCGAGCAGGCUUAGCUGGUGGGAUCGAGCCCCCUGCUUUGCUCUAGCUCGAGCUCGUCAUUUGACGAGCCCAAGCCGACCACGAGCCGAGUUUUAAUGAGCUAACAAGCCGCUCGACUCGUUUGACAUCAAAUGAUGAGCCUGAGCCGCCCAUGAGCCGACGAGCCGCUCAGCCUGUUUGACAUCGAUAAGGGUAGCCGAAGGACAUAUUAUGUAUUUUCUUUUUAUUUAUUUGUUUUAUUCUUUCUCUUUUUAAAUUAUUUUGAAUGAUAUAACUAGGGAUGUAAACGAGCCGAGCCGGCUCAUGAACUGAAAUUUUCGGCUCGGGCUCGGCUCGAGUAAAUCGUAACGGGCUUUUUUUGGGCCCGAGCUGGCUCGGCCAAAAAAAAUAAGGCUCCGAGCUCGGGCUUUUUAUGAGCCGAGUCGGCUCGGUUUUUUAUUUAUUUAUUUUUUUUGCAAUUUUUAAUGACAUUUUUUUCACAUGCUAAUUGUUGUGGUGCAAAUUGUUGAAUGACAUUUUUUUGAAGAAUUUAAAAAUUGCAUCAUUUAUUAUUUAUACAAAUUACAAAUUAAAUAAAAGUACAACUUUCAAAAUUAUGUAAUUUAUACGAAUAACAAAAUAAAUAAAAGUUACAAAUUACAACCCUCCUCCUUUUUCCGGGCUUGGGACCGGCUGCAAUCAACAUAGGCAGAGUUAAAAUUGUACACGAAUAAAAUAUUUCGUGUACAAUUUUUUUGAAUCAAAUAAAUUUAAAAAAUACAUUUCUUAAAGAAAAAUAAUUAAUUUAAAAACUUACAACAUCUUAUGUUUGGAUAUGCUGCAACUCUUCGGUCAUUAUACUAUCAACAUGUUCUUGAACACGUAAUUCUGCACAUUCCCAAUCCUUCAAACAUAUCAAAACCUCCAAUAUAUCUUCUUUUAGUCUUGAUCGUUCAUCUGAUAAAAUUCGACCACCUAAACUGAAUGCAGCCUCCGAUGCUACCGUAGACACCGGAGGUGUUAGUAGAUCACGUGCAAUUUUUGAUACAAUUAGAUAUUGUCUUUCGUUACAUCUCCACUAAUUUAAAAGACUAAAUUCUUGUAAUUCGUGCCGUUGCAACACACUACGAACAUCUACGCACAUAUACCUAGCUAAUUCAGAAGGAAUUUCAAGAUUUGUACCACCAAUAUUGAUUGCUCUAGAUGUUGAUGAGUUAGAACUAGAACUAAAUGAAGGAGCACUUGUAUUGCUAUCUAAAUAAUUCCAUAAAUUUUCGGGAUUUGUUGAAAUAUUUCUUGAAAAAGAACUUUGGGAAGUAGAACUACGCUGACCUUCCUUUUCAGCAUAAUAAUUAUACAUUUCACAUAAAAAAAGAUUCUAUAUGCACGUGUGAUAAUUCUAUAUUCAAAAAAUCUGAUAUCCCCUUUACAGUAGUUUUUGUGUCAGUUAAAUUAAGUCGAGGGUCCAUUACUGAAGCUAAAAUAAAUAAAGAAGGCAACUCUUCCCAGUAUUUAUAAAAUUUUAACUCCAUACAGCGAACUACAUCAGCAAAAAAGUGGCAAAUUCCUAUAUUUAUGAAAUGCUUGUGAAAUAUAGAAAAAAUGUUGUAAAACAAGAGAAGAUGUAGGGUAAUAAACACCGCUACAUUCCUUUGUAGUAUCGAAAAAAGGUUGUAAGAAUUUUUUCACGUAAAAUGCAAUAGUCCAUUCCCAAUCUUCCAAAUUAUGUUCGGGUCCGAGUGUAUGCCUACCAUUAUAAUAUGGUGAAAUCACUUUAUCGUAAUUUUCACACCAAUGUAACAUAAGAUAUGUAGAGUUCCACCCGUGUGUUACAUCAGUGGCAAAUGAUUUCUCCUGUAAUCCAUACUCUGCACACAAACUAUUAAAUGCUUGUUUUCUUGCUGGUGACACAAUAAUAAAAUUUAUUGCUUGUCUAAUUUUAUCUAAAGGUGAACUUAUAUGUUCUAAUCCAACUUUUACAAUCAAAUUAAUAAUAUGACAUACGCAACGUUGAUAAAAAUAAAUUUUCAAAUACGGGAUUAAGAUCAGCAAUAAAUCUUUCAAUAACAACUUUGUUUACUGCAACAUUAUCAAAAGUAAAAUUUCGAACCAUAUCUUGUAUAUCAGAUUCCUGUAUGAUAUCUUUUAAAACCAUGUAUAUAUUAGUGGCAUUAUGGGAAAAUUCUACACAUCUGAAUGCAGUAAUUCUUUUAUGUAGAAGCCACAGGUGAUCAAUAUAAUGAGCCGCAGCAGCAAUAUAACCUUUUCUAUUACAACCAGUCCAUAAAUCAGAAGUAAACGAUACAACACUAUUAAAACUUUUUAGACCUUCAAUAGUAAUUUGUUUUCUUCUGUUAUAUAAUUUUAUGCUAUCCGAACGAAGAGUAUUUCUAGAAUAAGAAGAAUACCUCGGUUGGAGAUAUUUCUGCACGAGUCGGGUAAAGUGUAUUGAGUCUAUCAUCGUAAGCGGCAUCUCUGCUGCAGCCACGUAUGCAGCCAUUCCUUCACGAAAUCUUUCCUGUGAAUAUACAAAGGUGGAAAGAGUAGAAUUAGAACCGCCAAACACUAGUUCGAUUUGUUUCGAGUUGAGAUCGACUGGUUUUGCUUUGCAACUCCUCAAUACGUAUCUAUUCAAAUGCGUUGUGCUCGAGCCAGGCUUCCAACUAAGUUCUUUGCCACAAUAAUUGCAACAUACUUUCAAAAUAUCUACUCCAUUUCGAACACCAAUUUUUUUUCGUGUCAUAUGUUGCCAACAGUCCGAUGAUUCUUUUUUUGACCUUUUUGUCUCGAGUACUUGAACUUCUUCCUCUUCAAUAUCCUCCAAAUUAAUUGAAACAUUUUCACAUGCAUCGUAGUUAGAUGGAGUACUCGAACUACCCCAAACUGAUUAACUUCAUCACUUGUAAAAUCCAUAAUAACUAGUAUAAUAAAAAAUACUGAAUAUUAGACUGUAAAGUGAAAGAAAUUGAAUAUAUUAAUUGUUAUAUGAGAAGUGAGAAAGAAGAAAUUGAAACUUGAAUCUGAAUCUAUGAUAUAGAAAUAAUGCGAAUUAAAAUCGAUAGCAAAGUGAUUUAAAACUUCAAAAAUCAUCUCGUAUUUAUAGAUAAAAAAACCCGCAUUAUUUUUCAAAUUUGAAUUUAAAAAAGAUAACAGUGUAGUGUACCAAUACGAAAAAAAGGCAGCUAUAGGCAGCAGGUCACAGCUGCUACAGGGCAGCAGGGCUGCUGCCGUGCAGCAGUUAAAAUAUUUAAAAAAAAAUUUUUUUCUUUAAUUUGCUUGGGCCGAGCAUUUUUGUCACGGGCCAUUUUUGGCCCGUGACAGGCGAGCCACACGGGUUUGCUCGGGCUUGAUCCCUACGAGCCACGUGCCGGGCGGGCUCGAAUUUUUCCCGAGCCGAGCCACGAGCCGCUCGAGCCACCGAGCCUUUUUGACACCCCUAUAUAUAACUAUGGAUCCUUUCUUUAAAAUUUAAAUUGAUCAAAUUUUGGUCAAUGGAUGACUCAUAGGUCAACUAUCGGUAUUGAUGGAAAUCAUUCAUGGGACCUCGUGCCACAUGUUAAUUGAAGAUUUGGUAAUAUACUAAUAAAAAUGAAAGGUUUGAAACGAUUGAUGCAAUUUAUGGUCAGCAUCAUGCACCGCCGUUUGGAAGCGUCGGACUUAGUGCCAUUAGUGUCAAUUUCCUAGUUUGUAAGAGUCCUUUUUUGUCAACUUUGCUUAUUAAGGUUUGCGAGAAAUUCAUACAAAUAGCACAAUAUGUGAAUAGAAUAAUUCUACUCCUACAAAGUUUGAGUAUAAAAGUGAAGUGUAAAAGUGUGUUGGCAAAAUCUGAACCCUUGAUUUCAAAUAAUUUAAAAAUCCGUUUUUGAAAUUAUUGGUAUAGAUUUAAAUUUGUAACGUAACUUUGUAAAAUCCCUUUGUCGUCGUAGCAUAACUCAUAUGAAUAUAUACAAUGGCAUAACUUUCAUCCUCACGAUAGAGGAAUUGGUUCUAAAGGGUAAAGGACUAAUAUUAAUUGUCAAUGACAUUUGUUGACCUUAAAUUCCAUAACAAUUUCUUAGGGCAAUCCUUGUGGAUUGGUCCGGGGUGUUCCACUCCCGCUUUUGACCUCUGUCAACGGUAUUCAAUCCUUCCUCUCUUCUUAGUUUUCACGCAAAAACAGAGGUUGGAAUUGCCCCAGUUCCUUCCAAUUAUGUGAAAUGGGGUGUGUCCUCACUAAAAAAGUGCAAGUGGGUUGGCGAAGAGACGCGGCUCGACAAGGAAGGAAUGGAAAAUAGUCAAGAUGCAAUAGCAGUUGGUAAGUGAGAACCACCAUCGAAAAGAGUGUCACCAGGUACAAAGACCAAAAGAUAUCUCAACAAUACAAGUCUUUGUUUGACUACCAUUAAAAUUUUAAUACAUUUUUCUUUCUUCUUUUCAAUCAUAAAUUCUCCAAUAAAAUGAUAAUACUUGUAAACCAAAAUUUUUCCUUUAUUUAAUUACACAUUCUCCAAAAAAUUAUUAUUUCAAAAUACAUUAUUUCUAAAUUCUCAUUAUAGUGGGGGCCAAACAAGGCCAAAAGUGUUGUUCAAUCCUAUUCUCAAAGUCCAGGAUAACUGGAUAAGGGAUGUUGAGUGGGUCCGAAGAAGACAUCAUUUUUAGGAUUAUUCUUCUUAGAUAGGGCCAAUGUGGCCCUGUCCAUUCUGGGGGCAAUGUAGCGUCCCCCCUAUUGGCCAGGUUGUCCAUAUAGCAAAGUUAUCAUUUUGAUAGUACGAAGAACAAGUUUGAUGUGAUAGGCCAAUUGCUAGCACUUAUUCUCCUGAUUUUGUACAAACAUUCAAAAAGAGUAAUAAAACAAGUACCUUAUUCAAAAAGUACUAGAAUGCAAGCAUUGGCAAGAAAACGUACUACUUUAUUCAAAAUUCAUCUAAAAAUUUUGACUUAAAAAGAAAGAUAUAUUUUGACAACAAAAUAAAUAUCCCUAAGACAUUUUGUAUUCUUGUUUAUUUCGUGUACACUACGUUUUUAAUGAGGCUAUUGUUUUAGGAUUCAACAACCUCAAAACAAAUGAAAAAAUUACACUAACACCUUUCACAAAAUCUAACAUAUACAACACAAUUUAACUAGUAAAAGAUUUGCCUCUUACAGGGUUUUGCUCCCAGGCAAUCCUCAGUUCAGAAAAGAAUAAAAAAAUGAGUCAUCUUUAGGUUCCUCCUUGGCCAUGGAGAGGGCAUUGUCUGUCUGUUGCAUUUGAUCAAUAUAUGGACCGAUCGAGUCUCCAAAACCUGAGUAGGCAAAAUCACCCGUGUCCUGCAAUAUCUGAAGGGUAUACGAAGCAUGGUUCUGUGAUCCUGAUACCCUGUUUUUCUGAAUAGAAUUGGGGAGAUUUGUCAUCAUACCGGUAGAUGGCCUAAUAGCCAUAGGCUGGUUCGUGUUAAUAUGUGGUCUGUUCAUAGUAUAACUGCCACUGCCGCGUGCUGCAAGAACAUCAUGGUUGUGUUUUCCUUCGUACGUGGUAAUCACCGCCCUCAAAUCAUGAUAUGCUCGCUCUACGUGCUUCCUAAGCGGAUAACCAUUGUAUGUACAUUUGUAGUAGCUCCUGCAGGAAUUGAUGAAUUGAUGUCAUUAAGGUUUCUAACUUCAUUAAGGAAAGAAAGAGACAAAACAUUGAGGUACUAAUCAUGUUUACCUACGAUUCGGAUUGCCCUUAACAACUUUCUGUCUGUAUUUCCUCCAUCUGUAACCAUCAUCAAGGAUAUCAAUAUCACUUGUGGUUUGAACGACGAUUCUAGGUUCUUGAACCGUUUUGCUGCCCGAAGCAGAUAUGCUUUCAUUCUCACUUUUUCCCUUCCUGAAAAACACAAUGAAAUUUAAUACUGUAAGGUAUUCUCAUAUCAUGUAAUUAUUGGAACUAUCAAGUGAUAAACUUACCAUCUCUUGGCUUCGGGUUCAUUUUCUUCAUCUCUCGAGUUACUCAUUGGUGAGCCUUGUUCGAAAUCAUCAUCACCGAAAGAAGCUGACGAAUUCUCUGGGGUUGUGAUAGGUUCCCCUAUAGCAUCUUCGAGCAAUGAGUUUGACUGAUUUAAAAUUCCCAUAUAACAGUAUGUAUGAUUCUGAAUUGAAUUCGAAGAUGAUCUUCGAGUGGAUUGAGGCUUGGGGUGACUAUGACUUCCUUUAUACACUAUUUCAGUAAUAUGACCAUCCAAAUUUUGACCUUUCUCUUAGUCGGACAGCUUGGAAAUGUAAACUUGUAAUAACUACGAGGAUUUUCGUUUCCUUUGACUUGUUUCUGGUUGUAUUUCCUCCAGUUGUAUCCAUCGUCCGAUUUCUUCUGCUCCCUUGUAUACUGAGUAGGUUGAGCAUAGUGAGUUUGAGCCAAAUUGCCCCCAUAUUUGAUUGAAUAGUAGAAACUGUUAAACAAUCCAAAGAAAAUAAAAAAGAAAAAGGAGGAGGUUAGGGAUUCAUUGAUACUACAUAAUUAAUUGAAUGCUAAAAGAUAGUUUAACCUAAAUACAAAGAAAAUAUAUAUAAGCUAAACAAAGGAAACUAAAAAAAGACUAUUCUACCCUUAAUAAAUAAUAAAUAAUCCUAUAUUUCUUAACAGAAACAUCGUGAGAGAAUUUUGCGUCUGAAAAUUCAAUUUGCUUGUUUAGAGUAUUGAAUGCCUCAUUUUCUUGAUUCCUUCUUAACAAAUCCUCAUGUUGAAGUAUAAUCGUCAGCACCAAAACAAUCAAUAUAAAGAAGAAUGACCACAAUAAUAAACUAAUCAUUCUUUUUCUUUCUUUUUUUUUUUUUUUUUUAAUUUGAGGUCGACUACACUAAUCCCCUUUUGCCUCCUUAUUCGGUUCAUUAAUUACGAGAUAAAUGACAGAAUCAAAUAAAUAUUAAGGACAAACGAACCACAUAAAUUACACAUCUGGAUUACAUUUGAACUGUAAUAUGACCAUAAUCAUUCUUUCAACAUGUUGAAUUACAGGGUUUUCUUUAAUAAUCUUGAAAAUCAUAAUGCAUGAGAAUAAUUCUUCGAAGAAUCAUAUAAUUAUGCAAUAUUUGAUACAUAUUUUAUAUUAAGUUGUUUCGAUCCAAAUAAACUAUAAGAAAACUAGGAUUCUAAGCAUGAAACUGAUUUUAAAACUGUAUAGCAAAUACAAAGUAAUGAAAAUAAAAACGGAGAGUUGUGCUGAAUGUCGGGAUCAUACCGAUUGAUUUCUUCCUGCAGAAAACGAAAAAAAAAGAUGAAGAACUUGAAGGCCUAUUUUGAGAUUGAAAAGUGAAAUCAGAAUACUUUCUAUCCUCAUCUUUAGAUAGCGAACCAGUAAAACUUCCUGUAGUGGGAGAUGGAAGAACCUGCACAAGCAUAUCAAACUUUUCACUAGUCCUAUUUCCAGUAAACUCAAUAUCUAUUAGAUGAAUCCUUUUACACUGUUGAAACAACAAGCUUACGUCCCUUUUUUCUAAAUAAAUUUAGGUGGACUAGCUUCUAUACCUAGACCCCAUUGCUUACUUUGAUACUUUCGAACAUUUCUGUGUCGGAAAAGACACACAAAUAAAAAACUACAAACUAUACUAAAUAAAUUUGAGUUCUGACUACAUGAAUUCUUUCCAUCAUCUUCAAAUAGCUUCUAUACCAAGAAGGACCAUGCUAGGGUGCCAGAAGAGAAUUGACAUCCUAGCUGACAGAUCCUCACAAUCAGGGUGGGUGGGGUGGAAUUUGUUGGUAUUAAUAGUCCCAAUAAUCCAAGAAAAACACAGAAAAAUAAAAGAACACAAGAAUUUUUUGCCAAUAGGCCCGGAUGUUCACCAAAAAAUGGGUUACGUCAUCACGUUGAGCUUCCACCAAAGUGAUUAACGCUCUAAUCCACUAGAAACCAGCAAUAGAAUAUCAAUACAAGGUUUAUAAACUACAGAUCUAAAAAGAUCAGCCCUCAAACCCUAUUUUUUCCCUCACAAAUCGAACAAACAGAUUACACCAAGUAAUCGAACCUCACUGUUCAACCAAGAACAGAUAUAAUCUCUACACCAAGUACACGAACUAUAUCUCACCAAGAACAUCUAAUGAUUCAGAGAUUACAAACAAAAAAAAAAUAAAAAAUCCAGAGGUUUUUUGAGAGAGAACAUUACAGAAAGCAAAACGAAAGAUAACCCUAGAAAUCUCUGGCAUAAUGGUAAUUGAAAAGUCUAGGGCUAAGUAUAAUUAAAGGUCACUUGCAUCCAACGGUUCAGCCGACUACACUUGGCACCAACUGAUCCAUCCAGUUAAAACAAAUUAAGGUCGCAUUUGGAGGAAACACGAGUCAACACAAGUGGGGGCAAACCAGGUCACAAACAAACUUGGGGUCAACUGUUGGGUUCCAUCAUUGAGCCUGAAGGUGUUAAGCGUUAUUCUUAACAAUCUCCACCUUGCUUGACACUUUUGGAUUUCAUUGUGGACUAGAGGUUAACUCCUCCUUUGAUAUCAUAUGCUCUGUGUACCUGCAAAAGAAAUUUCAGUUAGAAAUAACAUUUAGGAGAUUUAAACAAUCCCUAAAUUCAUGUACAGAAAGUAUUUUUGUACCCAUAUCUGCUGGAUUACACAUAGUGGAAAUCUUUUCAAUUUUCAUGAUAUCCUUUUCUAUAAUGUCUCUUAUAAAAUGAAAUUUGACAUCUAUGUGUUUUGUUCUAUCAUGAAAAACAGAUUUCUACUAAGAUGUAUGGCAUAUUGUCUUUCAGAAUGUAUUAAAGCAUCAUUACCAGUAAAGCCAAUUUCAUCCAACAAAAUUUUCAACCAAAUACCUUCCUUAAUAGCAUCUGUGGCUGCAAUUUAUUCAGCAUUUGUAGAAGACAAAGCUACUAUCCUUUGCAGCUGUGAUUUUCAGCUUAUACAUGUAUCAUUUAAAGUAAAGACAUAUGCAGAUGUUGAUUUUCUAUUAUCACAAUUACCAGCAAAAUCAGAAUCUAUAAAUCCUUUUAGUUUAAUCCCAGUUUUCCUUUUCUAAACAUUAGUCCUAAGUUUGAAGUUCCCUUCAGAUAUCUAAGUAGCCAUUUCAUGCCUUCCCAGUGUUGUUAACAAGGAUUACUCAUAUAUCUACUCAAUACACUUAUAGCAAAAGCAAGAUCAGCCCUUGUACAAACCAUAAUGUACAUUACUGAACCUACAGCAUUUGCAUAAGGGAUUUUAUCCAUCCUAUUUCUUUCUAUCUCAGUUUUAGGACACUGUUCAGUAGAGAAUUUAAACUGACUGCCAAGUGGUGAGGUAACUUCUUUUGCCUUAUCCAUGCAAAUUUACAUAGAAUUUUGAAAAUACAUGACUCUUAAGUUAGAAAUAGUGUGAAGUCACUUCUAUUUCUCCUAAUUUCCAUUCCUAAAAUUCUUUUAGUUGAUCCUAGGACUUUCAUUUCAAACUCUUGUUUUAACUUUUGUUUAAUAUUAUUUAUUUCAGUUACAUCACACUCAGCAAAUAGCAUAUCAUCAACAUAAAGCAAACGAUAAUAGGAAUCAGGACCUCCACCACCUUUAUAAUAGAAGCAAGGAUCAUAUUCACUCCUAUUAAAGUCAAGACCUUUUAUAAAAGCACCAAAUUUGAUAUACCACUGUCUAGGGGCCUGUUUUAGCCCAUAGAGUGAUUUUUGUAGAAGGCACACAUAGUUUUCCUUUCCCUUUUGUUCAAAACCUUUAGGUUGAGUCAUAUAAAUUUUUUCUUCUAAGUUACCAUGUAAAAAUGCAGUUUUUACAUCUAACUGUUUCAGUUCAAAAUCAAAUUGUGAAACAAUGCAAAGAAGAAUUCUUAUAGAAAUAUAUUUGACUACAGGUGAGAAGAGUUCAUUAUAGUCAAUUCCUUCUCUUUGGUUAAAGCCCUUUGCAACUAGUCUGGCCUUAAAUUUGACAUUUCCCUCUUUCGAGUCACCUUCUUUAAUUUUGUAAAUCCACUUACAGUCAGUAACCUUUCCCCCUUUUGGUUUAUUAACUAAGACCCAAGUCUUAUUUUUGUAAAGCAAAAGCAUUUCAUCUUUCAUAGCUGUAAGCCAAGAAUUUGAAUUUUUUUCCCCAAUGGCCUCUUCAUAGGAAUUAGGUUCAUUGUCUAAAAAAUUCUGAAUAUUUAGGACAUUGACAAAAUCUAAUUCAUUAUAUCUCGCAGGUGGUCUUAUCUCCCUCCUUCAUCUAUCUCUGGCGAGUUGAUAGUCUUCUAAGGGGUUUAUCGGUGGAACAAGUUUCAGGCUCAAUCUCAUGUUCACACUCAGGUUCAGGGGCUAUUACUUGUUCAUGAGUAGGCUCCACCUCAAUCUGGUCAUUAGUUUCAAGAUCUAAUAUGGGUGAAGAGAUUUCAGAUUUCAGAUAUGAAUCAUUUUCACUUAUUUGAGGGGCUACAGGUGUUUUUUCUUUAGUACAGGGCAUGUCCAUUUCAUUAAAGAUUACAUUUCUGUUGAUUAUGACUGUUACCUCCCUGAUCCUUAACCCAGAUUCUGUAACCUUUUACAUCCUCACCAUAUCCUAAGAAAAUGCCUUUAAUAGAUAUAGGUUCAAGUUUACCCUCAUUUUGGUGUACAUAAGCUGCACAACCAAAAACUUUCAGUUUGGAGUAAUCAACAAGGUGACCACUCUAAACAUGAUCAGAAGUGUCAUAAUUCAAGGAUUUUGUGGGGGCAUUUGUUUAUCAAAUAUGAUGCAAUUUUAACAGCUUUCCCCCAGAACAAUUUUGUAAGUCUUGCACUAAUUAACAUGCAUCUAACAGGGUCCUAUUUAUCCUUUCUGCUAGACCAUUCUGUUGUGGGGGUAUAGGUGACAGUCCUGUGCCUUAAAAUUUCAUUAUUAUUACAAAAAUUAUCAAAUUACUCAUUACAGAAUUCAGACCAUUGUCAGUUUUAAGAGCUUUAACCUUUUUGUUUACCUGGUUUUCAAUUAAUGUUUUCCAUGUUAUGAAGUUUUGAAAAGUAUUUGAUUUAUUUUUCAAAAGGGUAACCUAGAUCUUUUUUGAAAAAUCAUCAACAAUCAAUAAGAAAUAUUUGAAACCAGAAUAGGUAUUCACAGUAGCUGGUCCCCACAGAUCAGCAUGCAAAUAUUCAAGAAUAGACUUAGAUUUAUGGACACCUGUACCAAAUGACAGCUUUCUUUGUUUUCCAUAAAUGCAGUGUUCACAGAAGGACGCCCUUUCGAUUUUUUCAUUUCCUAAAGGCCUUGCUUUUUAAGAAUGUAUAAAUUCUUACCCCUCACAUGUCCUAACCUUUUGUGCCAAAUUUCAGAUUUUUCAGGCUGAGUAACUGCUGCUAAAAUAGGUUGGUUUAUCAUUGGCAAAGUUUUUAAAACAUAGAUCCCAUUAGAUUUUUCAACACAAGUAAUCUCUGUCAAGUUCUUUUGCAAUUUCAAAAUGCCUUUGUUUAUAGCUGUAUCAAAACCUUCAUCAUCUAGUACACCUAAAGAGAUCAGAUUUCUCUUUAGUUUGGGAAUGUAUCUGAUCUUGUUUAGAGUCAAUACAUUUCCAUUUUCUAGUUUUAAAUCAACUUUGUCAAUUCCUUUAAUUUUACAAGUAAAAUCAUUUCCCAAUAUUACUUGACCCUCAUUAAUUUCAGAAAAAUCAGUAAAGUAUUCCUUAUAAGGUGUCAUGUGAAAUGUAAACCCAGAAUCAAGGAUCCAUUCAUCCUUGACUAAAGAUUGACUAGCCACACAGAAUUGUCCAUUUGAGCCUGCAGCUUCUUCAUAAGCAAUAACAGCUCCACUUUCAAUUUUAUUGAUGUUUUUUAGUUUAUCAAUCCUUUUAAUACAGUCUUUUAUGAAGUGACCCAUCUUUCCACAAAAGUAGCAUUUCUUUCCUUUAGCCUUAUUAUUAUUAUGAUUUAAUCUGGUCUUACCUUUAUGAAAAUUUCCAUUGUACUCUUUUGGCUUUCCAAGGUUUUUAUUUGAAAAAUUAUUGUUGUUUCUUUUGAAUUGAUUAUUUUCUCUGACAUUAUAACCAAAACCAACAGAGAAGGUUUUAGAUUCACUUUGAAACUUAAGUUCUUUAUUUCUUAAAGAAGCAACAAUAACAUCUAUGGUAAUGGAAGUUCUUCCAUAUUCAAGAGCAUUUCUUAAGUCUUUAUAUUUUUCAGGUAAGGCAAAUAAUAAGGCUACAGCCUGUUGUUCACCAGAGAGUGUUUCACUAUUAUUUGUGAGAUCUUGAGUUAAUUUGUUAAAUCUGUCAAGAUUGGCUUCAAGAUCAAGAUGUGGGUAAAAUUUGAAGCUAAAGAAUUGUUUCCAAAGAUAAUAUUUAUUGGGAAGUGAUUUUGUUUUAUAAAGGGAUUCAAGUUUUGUCCAAAUUUCCUCAGCAGUCUCAAUUUUUCCUACUUCUCUAAUUGCGCUAUCAGACAAGUGUAAGAAAAUCAGACUCCAUGCAAUAUCAAUUUGUUCAUUUCUUUUUCUUUCUAUGAUUUCUUUUUCUCAAGACUCAUCAAGUGCUUUCACUCAUUUAUGUGGCAUCAGAAGUGCCUUCAUUUUUUGACUCCAAAGUGUAAAAUCUCCUUUUCCAUUCCAGAUUUCUAUGUCAACUUUUGUACUUGUCAUUUUUGGUUUUGAAAACAAAAAAUUAUUUCCAACAACUUUGAAAUAGUUUAUAAGUUCGAAGUACAAGAGUUGCAGAAUAUGAUUUUUCAAAUGUGCAAACACAACACGACAGAUUAAUGUGCAGCAAACCAAUUCACACUCAAGUGCACAGAAAUUAACACACACACAGAAACCAGCAAUAGAAUAUCAUUACAAGGUUUACAAAACAAAUAUCUAAAAAGAUCAGCCCUCAGACCCUAUUUUAUCCCUCACAGAUCGAACAGACAGAUACAUCAAGUAAUCGAACCUCACUGUUCAACCAAGAAUAGAUAUAAUCUCUACACCAAGUAUACGAACUAGAUCUCACCAAGAACAUCUAAUGAUUCAGAGAUUACAAAAAAAAAAAAAAAAAACCAGAGGUUUUUCGAGAAAGAAAAUUACAGAGAGCAAAACGAAAGAUAACCUUAGAAGUCUCUCAUAUAAUGGUAAGUAAAAAGUCUAGGGCUAAGUAUAAUUAACGGUUACUUGCAUCCAACGGUUUAGCCGACUCCACUUGGUACUAUCUGAUCCAUCCAGUUAAAACAAACAAAAGUCGCAUUUGGAGGAAACACGAGUCUGCAUUUUUCUAAACAGAUUUUUUUACAUUUUUUAUUCAUGUGGAGUCGACAUGGGUCCCAUUAACAUGUGAGUAUCUGUCAAAAACAGUGGGUUAAGUGCUUUAAGGCUGUCAUCAUCAAUACCAAAACAACCUUCUAGAACCAAAUCUUCGAGGUAUUGCAGCUCUAGGACUUGAAAUAAGCAUUUAUUUGUGAUCUACACAAAGAAACAGAGAUAUCAUCAAGCUCAGAUGUAUCUUAAAUAUAAUAAAAGAAGAGUUUUCAAUCAAAUGAUGCUUUCUGCAAAUCUAUAUCAGUCAUUGUCUUUAUCUCAAAAUACAAAUCAUUAUUAAUUAAGUUGCAUAAAUAUCUGUUUAGUUGGUCUUAGAGAAAUACAUUCUUUGAAAAACAGUGAAGAAAAGACAACAAAACAUAAGCAUGAGCUUAAUGAAGAAUAAUGAAACCAUAAUAACUCGAUGUUGUACAAAUUGUGCUAAGAACAAUAGGACAUCAAAUUUGAAAACACAGAGUUUAUAAACUCGAGUCUACUUUAACUAAAAAUGAACGCGUUACAUCCACAUCGACAUGUGUUUUUGUUGGAGGCUGUCGUCAUUUGCAUUCAUAUGAUACAGAUGUAUACUGUGACGAACCAUUCCACCUCUAAAAAUAAAAUACUAAUUAAAUGUCCAUAUGAUGAAUAUUCUUUGAAUGUUUAAUAUUCAAAUUAUAAAGCUACGACACCAAGUUGACGACAUUGGUCCCACAUCAUAUUUGACAGCUACUGACCUCGUGCACAAACAUGAAAUUUCUUUUAUUUUUAAAAAUGUUUUAAAUGUGAGAGCUUCUAUGUAUCACACCCUAAAAGAGUAAGCCAUAUGUGUCUUCAUAACACCUAAGACAAUCUCUUAUAAUACAUUGCGAUAAAGACUUCCCACCAAGCAACGUUAAUAAUUUGACAAAUCCCGUAAAGUACAAAUAAAAGUGACCUAGGGUUCUUAAACAGGCAAUAUCUAAUCUUAAAAUGAAAUCUCAUUACUAUCAGUUGUAACAUCAAGAAACUUCAAAAAACAACAUGGUGAAGCUAAUAAUAAUAGAUAAAUCUCAUAAACCUACAACCAUUAAUUACAUUUAGCUAAAAACAAACAAGGGUAACAAACAUAACAAAAGUCAUCAAAAUACAGAAAAAACUUGCAUCCAUCAAGAAGAAACAACAAUUAAACCAUACAAGUAGGACUGUAAGCAAAAAUCGUCAAAUCGAAACUGCAUUUUAGAAACCAUCGGUUUGGUGUCACGUAGACCUGGUUAACGAAAUGGUUUUGAACCAAACCAAACCGGUCAAAAACGAUUUGGUUUAGAUUUGAGAAUUUUAGUUGCGGUAUAAAACCAAACCCGACCGGCAAAAAAAUAUAUAAAAAUAGAAAAAUGAAAUUUUUUGAAAGUUCACCCAAAUAUGUAAAAUUCAAUAGUUUUGUCAUUUAUGAGUAUUUUUGUAAAUUUCUAAUUUUCGAAUACAGAUAUAUUAUUAUUAUCCAAUAAUCCCAAUUUAUAUCUAAUAAUCUCAAGACUAACAUAAUCUAUCAAAAGCCCUUUUCCUUUUCAGAAUUUAGAUGAACUCCAACCGACACCCAACACAAUCUUAAGCUACCGGCACCAUAUACUUCUUUUUCAAAUUUUUCACGCAUCUUCAAAGUUAAUUGAUGUCCAUUAUACAAAUCGAAGACAGAGAUCCUGGACCUUCGACGAUAAUAUUUGUUACGAAUAAAGUUUCCGAUCAAUAAUUUUUUUGGAGCAAACUAAGGUAAGGAUCUGAAAUUAAAUACGUUUCGCAGCAUUAUACAAACGUAAACUUGUGUAAUUGUUAUAUUUAGAUAUUAUAAACAAUUACUUUAUUAGUGUGGUUGGUUAAUCUCUUUGUUUAAUCAGUAUCUUUUUUUCAGAUAUGAUGAUUACGAGAUCUUGUUGGACAUUAUUAUAUUUUUUGGAUUUUAUAUCUAGUUUAGUAGACUUGUAUUUUAAUGUUCUUGUAUCGUCGUUAGACUAAAAAAGGUGAACAAAAAUGAAAAAACUAUGUUUUAGUUUAUUGUGAUUUCACUUUGAUUUUGUUGGUAUUUAAAUUUAUAGUAAAUAUAUUUAGUUCCUAUUUGAGCCAUAUUUUUCAUAUCAUCAUAAUGAGAAAAUUGACCGUUGGAUAGGAGGUUAGAUCCCACACAUGAAACAGCAGAUCAACAAAGGCGGCUGAACUUGUGGGAUAAUGAUCCAAAUUUUUAUUUUUUGUCCAAAAAUUUGGUUCAAAUAGGGGCUUGGUCUAUUUUAGAUUUAUUGCAAGUAAAAUAUAAAUAUAUAUGGAAUUCAAUGAAUUAAUAACAUAAAAGUAGACAGGCAAAAAAAAAUAUGGCGAAACUGAUUGUUUAAAAUCGGACCAAACCGUUAGGUAUAUGUUUGAGUUUUUUUCAAACCGUUCAAAAUGGUUUGGUUUAGGUUUGAAUUUUUCUCAAACUGAUUUAAACGGCUUGGUUUGAAAAUCUAUCAAAAAUCUAUAAAACUGGACUGCUUACACCUCUACACACAAGGGCGAAAACAUGAACGAUCAACUAGCAUAUAUAUCAUAAACUAAUCAAUAUACUAUACUGCAAGACCUAUAACAAAUCCGAAUUAAAUGAAUUAACAUCAAAAUCGAAAAAAUAAUCCCAAAUCAGUAAUUUUAAUGCUAGAGAACAGCCGUAUUAUCAGCAAGUAUGAUAGAUCCAAACUGCGAAUUUUCUUACACUUGACAGCAAUUAAUCCCACCCCCAAAUCACCGAUGCCAAAACACCAUUUCAAGCUAAGCAAUUUCAGCUUCCAACAAACCACAGCAAUACACCCAAUGCCUAUAUCAGUAAUAGAUUUGCACCUAACCAACCACAAUUUCUCCAAGUCCUUCACCUCGACUAUAGAAGCCCCGACCAAAUCCUUUAAAUUCGCGGCGUUUGACAAAUCAAUUUCUACCAAAUUCCUACAAUUCACCAAUAAAUUUGAUAGCCCAACAUGGGAAAAAAACCUGGACCUUGAAAGAUUAAUUGACCUCAACAUUUCUUCACAAUACCCUGAUAUUAUACCUAGAAAACUAUCUGUAAUUAUUGGGCAUGAUGAGAGAUCGAGAUGCGAAAUAAAAUGGUAUCGAAUCAAAAUUUUUGUUAAGUGUUCCGAACGAAAGGGUUUCAAGACCUUCCUAUGUCGAGAUUCAAUAGUACAAAAUGAUUUGCAAACGAGAGAAAAUGAUUUUUUUAUCAAGUGGGUCAUCGAGAGAAUCAAGAAUUAAGAAAACUAUCUCAUCAGAGAGAAGAUCAAACCUAUUGAAGUUAAAUUCAGGGAUUGAUUUUUGCGUCUUCAUUGCUAAAAAGAUUUAGAAUUUCAAUGAGAAAAGGCUCAAUAAUUUGUUUGAGUAAAUUAUAAGAUGUCGAAUAGUGUAUAUGUACAUAUUAUAUAUAGGGUAAUUGGCACAAAACGUUCCUAUCUUUCGAGUAUAUUGUGGAAGAUGUCCCUACCUUUCAUGUUUUUGGCAUUUUUGCCCCUAUUUCCACCUUUCUUUGUGUCAAAGGUCCUUUUCACUAUUUUUGGGUGUAAAAUAACCAAUAUGCCCUCCUUCUCAAAUAAAAGAAAAAAAAUAAAAAAAUUGUAACUAUAGACAAAACUUCUAAAAAAGUGCAAAUGCCCCCCCCCCCCCCCCCCACAAAAAAAAAAUAACCCCUCCCCCAAAAGCCAAAACCCCCCCCCCCCCCCCCACACCAAAAAAAAAACUUCACCUUCUUCCUACACCUCACCCCCACGCCACUGCCACUUGCCAGCGAUUUUCAACCACCUUCCGAUCAGCUUGGUAGCCAAACCAACAUGCCAACUUGAAACCCCCACUUCCCUCUUCACAACCCAUCCAAUCACUGGCCGAAAAUCUAAAGAAAUUAGUCGAAAAAUCGCGCCAAAACAGGCUGCCACGCAACUUCAACAACAAAAUCGACAAAUUCAACUCCAUUUUUCGGCACCGAAGUCAUGAUCGAUGAUGGUGGACCACCCCUCCUAGCACCACCUCUUCAAGGAGAACCUAAUGAACCUAUGGUUCAUCGUUUAUUUUAACCAGGAGUUGUAGAACCGGGCGAUUUCUUCAAUAGCAAAAUCGGCAACUUCAAACACAUUUUUCGUCACCGAUGUCACGAUCAACGAUCGCGCACAACCCCUUCUAGCACCGCCUCUUCAAUGCGAACAUAAUGAACCUAUGGGUCAUCGUCAAUUUUUGCCAGAAAUUGUAGAAACAGCCUCGACAGUUCAUACACAAAGAAACUCGGUCGAUCCCCUUUCAAUUGAUGAUGCGACUGGGCUUCAAUCCACCAAUUCUAGCAUGUAAUCGUCAACUAAUGUUGUCGCAAUUAUGGGUCCUCCAUCAAUUGCAUCAGUUCAUCAACCAAACGAUCAAUUUUCAAGAUUGAACUCAAGAACUAUCGGCUGAAUGCAAACUCCGAUUUUCUGGCUGUAGAUUUUGAUUUUCAGCUUUGUUUGAUGAUAUGAAGACAUCUAUAGGAGCGUAAUGAGGAGCAUAAUCGACCUGGCGAAUGGGGGUGCCAUGGGUGUCGUAAAAAAUGGAGUUUUCGGCCUCCAUUUUUGGUCGUUUCAUGUUGCGUGAGCAACCAAUUUUGGCGUAAUUUUUCGGCCAAUUGCUUUAGAUUUCGGCCAGUGGUUGGAUGGGUUGUGAAGAGAGAUGUGAGGGCUUCAAGUUAGUAUGUUGGUCCAGCUGCCAAGCUUAUCGGAAGGUGGUUGAAAAUAGCCGGCAAGUGGCGGUGGCGUGAAGGUGAGGUGAGGGAAGAUGGUGAAGUUUUUGGGACGGGGGCAUUUACACUUUUUUAAAAGUUUCGCCUAUAGUUGCAAUUUUUUCUUUUCUUUUCUUUUUUCUUUUAUUUAAAGAGAAUGACAUAUUUGUCAUUUUACACCCAAAAAAAGUGAAAAGGACCUUCGACGCAAAGAAAUGUGAAUAUAUAAGCAAAAAUGUCAAAAAAUGAAAUGUAUGGACGUUUUCCACAAUACACUCGAAAGGUAGGAACAUUUUGUGUCAAUUACCCAUUAUAUAUAUGUUGGAUGAUUAACCGUUAACAGAAAAGACUGGCAUGAAUUUGAGCAAUUGAUAAAUGAGAGCUGGUGAAAGUAUCGUUUGAGGAAGAAGAAUGUACGUCUGAAAUUACAAUAUAGUCCCUUUUGGCAUGAUUCCACAACCAUGGUGGAUGAUAUCGCUACUUUUAUAAGGACAUAACUACCCCUUAUCAACCAAAAUUAUUGCAGGUGAACAAAUUGGCUAAAAAGUUCAAUUUUGCUAGAGACAAUAUUAGGAGUGGGCAUGAUUUGGUUCGGUUUGAUUUUAACGAGAAUUGAACUGGACCAAAAUUUUUUGGGUAUUUAGUAAGUGAAAACGUUAUGUCCAAAUUUAAUUAUAGAAUCGUUCGGGUUUGGUUCCCUAGUUCUGUACUAUAAUAAUUUUUUUUAAUAUUUACACAACUACAUUAAUUCAACUAAUGACAUAUUCAAUCUUAAUUUUUACAAAAUAGCGUAGUCCAAUCUUAUAUGUCUUUUACAUCUCUCUUUAUUGAAUUCUUUAUAUAUUUGAUUGUUAAAAUCACAGAAAGACAAUGAUAGCAAGCUUACAAUAAUUAAAAGAGGCGCAGUCGAACUUCAAUUAAAUUUCUCCAUAACGGUAAAAAUGAUACAACAGUAGAAUAAAAAAUUUGGGUAAAAUUUAGGUCAAUUUAAUCAAAUCGAACUUGGAUUGAAAAUUAGAAAUAAAAAAAUCAUAUUUUUGGGUUUGAGCUAAAUUAACCAGUUAACAAAUUUAUUAGAAAAAUAAAAUAAUUUGGCUUAUUUAAAAUAAAUAAAUUAAAAAAUUAGGGAGAUUAGGUUCACUUCAAUUCGAUCGGGAGUUUUGCCCAACCCUAGAUAAUAUUAAAUGUUUUAGUCAUAUUUGAAAACACAAGGAGCAUAUCUAAUAUUAUAAUAAGUAUGAGGGUAACGUUUAAAUUUUCCUUACAUUUUCGGAGCUUCAUUUAAAAAGCCUAGUUAAACAAAACAUUAGUUUAAAAAGUCCACAAACUAAGGGCGAUGUCCUCAAUUGAAAUUGCAGUGUAUUUUAAAAGUCAUUCUAAAUUUAGAUAUCUUCAAUUGAGAUUUUAUUGAAUUUUAAUUAAAUUCAUUAAAAUUUAGGUGUUCCCAAUUGAAAUUUUAAUGAUAUCAUUUAAAAUUUUGGUAUCCUCAAUAAUUAGUGGAUUUAUAAAGAUUUCAUUAAUAGAAUGAUUUUAAAAGAUUUGGAUAGAUUUCAAGUUUAAAAAUACAUAUAAGUAAAUCUUUUGAAAAUUUCACCAUAUUUGAUGAGAUUCUUAUGAAAUUUGUAAAAAUCUAUUUAAAUCCACCAAAUUCAUAAGAAUUUAUAAUCAUUUAAAAUUCAUUAAAAUAUUAGUUGAGAACACCCCUGAGUUUUUUUGGGUAGAAUGCCUAAAGAUAUGGAAAAUGAAAAAUUAAUUUGUAAAUGACUAAAAUUACCUUACAUACAAAAAAGGCAUUGCUGGCCUAAUUCCCAUUUCAAUUCCCAUUUGACCCCAAUUAAAUUCUAUCUUCAUUCCAUUUGCUCUUCAAAAAUCGGUUGUAGAGAUAUGCAAUUUCUUUCUUUGUCAUCAUCAUUUUUCUUUACAUCAUGAAGCCAUAAACUCUACAUUUCCUUUUCCUUGAACACUCAUUUGGUUGAAAUGAGUAAUAAAAUCUUACAAUAUUAUUUUUGGGCAUUUGGAGAAGAAUGGGGUGUUGUAAUUUUCAAUUUUUGGAUUAGUUUCUUUGUCCAUUUUUUUUUGAAUAAUUUCUUCAUAUUGUUAUAUAUAUGUUUAUGAUUUUUAUUUGUGAACAAUGAUUUUGAAUUAAUUUUAUCAUUAGAUUAGAGUUUUGAUAUGGGUUACUUCCAAACCCUUUUCUCAUUAACCAUCAUUUGUAUCAGUUAUAAUAAAAUGUAAGUUUGCAAAUGCAUGUUUGACUAUUCUUUUUAUUGGUCUAUUGUAAAACAUACAUUUAAUUUUCGUCUAUACAUAACGAUUUACAUGUCAUUUUCUACAAUCUGUAACGACUUACAUAUCGUUAUUAAUACUGUACAAUGUUUAAAAUUUGAUGAAAUUUUUAUAUUGAGUUACAUUUAUGGACACCGCGAAUAUAGUAUAGAUAUCAGUUUGUUUUCCAAUUGAAUAUGAACAGUCGGUUGAAGGUGUUUAAAAAUGAAAAUAUGCAGGAAUGGUAAAGGAAAAACAACUCCUACUCUUGUUGCGAAAAUUAUUUCUUAUGUAGAAUUAUAUGAUAAAGUCAAAGAGGUGUUGAACAUCAAUUCACAACUGUUUCGAAAUUUAAUUGAAAAAAUCGAAUGAUUUUUACAAUUUCAAAUUGUUAAGAGUAUAGUAUAAGAUAUCAAUGGAUUGCAUAUUUUUAUUCCCAAAUAAGAUGGAAUAAACCAAUACCUUGGAGUAGAAACCAAUGCCUUGUCUUUUGUUAGAGAAUACUCUUUUGUCAUUUCAUUUAUAUUUAUAGUGGAUAAUUGAUUUGGAAUUAUUUCCUGCAAACUACAUAAUCAUCAUGUGUGUUAUUUUGCUCAUUUACUUACUUUCAAUAUAAAGAUUCAGAAAUUUGGAUGUUUACUUUGUGAUUUCGUACUGCAGCUCUCUUAAGGGAUAGGCUUACUCAACUUUGCUCUAAGAGGAUUUGGACAUAGCAGGUUGAAUAUUGUGUCAGCCUUUCCCAUCCUCGACCCAAAGAAAAUGGGAAACCUAGUUUUUUCCCCCUUUUUCUUUAAGUAUUAUUGGUGGAUGACUUGCUUAUAUAAAAACAAUUGGUCCAGCAUCUUAAGCAAUUUAUUCAUUUAGUUUCAUCAAAAUGUAGGUCAAAAGCGUGUGUAUAUAUGUAUGUAUGAUAGAAACUAUAAUGUAAUGGCUGGCUUAUAUACUAUGCGAACUUCCUGGUUUAUGAUCAUAAUUCAUAAUCCAAAUUUCUAAGUUUGUGAUGGUGGUGAGAUUAUAAAUGAUCAAAAUUAUUCAAUAGAUCCAUAAAGACUAUAUUAAUCGACCGUUCAUUUCUAUUUUUAUAUAUUUUUCUGAAAACAUUCUUGAUUUUUGAAGUUCUCGAGUAAUAAUUAUCUAAGAUUAAGGUUAUAAUAUUGUCCUGAUUUAUAACUUUAUAAUUUUUUGCUUAUUCGAAACACGAGAUGAUUUAUUAAAUUUUGUAGUCAUUGUUCUAUUGAAAUGCUUUUGCACAAUUGAAAUGCAAACGAUGUUUAUAUAGUUACAAUUGAUCUAAAUGCACUCAAUCUAAUGACGAUAUACAUUUUCUUCCUUCUAAAACAAAAUGUUUAAAAUCGUUGUAGUACAAAAAUGCAUUGAUUUUAGUUAAGACAUUGAAGUCGUUCUUGAAGCACAAAACGAUAUAAAUGUCGUUCCAAUACAAAAAAGUAGAGUGAAUAACAUAAUAAUAUUGAAACCGUUUUUGUAAUAAAACAUGAUUUCUACAUCGUUUCAGUAUGAAAUACACACUGCUUAACUUAUUCUGGUAACGACAUAAAAGUCGUUAUGAUUAUACAUAAACGAUAUAUAAGUUGUUCUAUUACAAAAAUGCACUCAUUCUAAGAAUGAUAUUGAAGUCCUUCCUGAAGUUCAAAAUGAUAUAGAUGUCCUUCCAAUAAAAAAAGUGCAUUGAACAAUGUAACGAUAUUGAAUGCAUGACGAAUAGUUGUGGACGGUCGAAUUGUUACUUUUAGCUAGAACGAUAUAAUUAUCGUUUUAUAUAAAAAGAAACGAUAUCUAUGUUGUUAUACUUGUGAUUUGAAUUGAAAUGAUUUCAAACUCUUCAAAUUUGUACUAAAACGAUAUGAAUGUCAUUACUUUAUUUGUGAUUUUGAUACAUAACGAUAUCAUUAUUAUUUCAGUACAAGUUUGAUGACGUUGAUAUCGUCUAAGCUUAAAUCAUAACUAAAACUACACAUAUAUCGUUUCAGUUAAGAUAAAACGACAAUUAUAUCAUUUCUACUAAAAAUAACAAUUCAACCAUCCACGACCACCAGACAUACAUCUGACAUAUGUUGAAUGAUCAAAAUAGGCAAUCAAGUGGGUUCAAUCUCACUCAAAGGAAAUUAUGAGAACAUUUUUUGUUAUCAUGAUUGUAUACCAUCUUUGAACAAUUUUGACAGAAAGUUUCGCUCUUUUUAAGUCAUUCGAGUGGUAUCAACCCACUCGAUAAUCUCUUUCGAUCGUCUUACUUAUGUUGAAGGUAUGAUAGAUGGUUGUAGACGGUCAAAUUGUUAUUUUUAUCCAGUACGAUAUAAUUAUCGUUUUAUACGAAAAGAUACGAUAUCCAUGUUGUUAUAUUUGUAAUUUGAAUUAGAACGAUUCCAAACUCGUCAAAUUUGUACUAAAAUGAUAUGAAUGUCAUUACUUUAUUUGUGAUUUUGAUACAUAACGACAUCAUUAUCGUUUCAAUAUAAGUCUGACGACGUUGAUAUCAUUUUAGUUUAAAUCAUAACUAAAACUACACGCAUAUCGUUUCAGUUAAAAUAAAAUGACAAUUAUAUCAUUUCUGCUAAAAAUAACGAUUUGACCGUCUUCGACUACCAGUUAUGCAUCUAUCAUAUGCAAGAUGAUCAAAAUAAGUAAUCAAGUGGGUUUGAUCUCACUCAAAAGAAACUAUGAAAAUAUUUGUGUUCUCAUGAUUAUAUACCACCUUCGAAAACAAUUUUGACAGAAAGUAUCUUCGUUCGCUCUUUCUAAGUUAUCCGAAUGGUAUCAAUCGACUUGAUGACCUCUUUUGAUCAUCCUACGUAUGCUGCAGGCAAGACGGGUGAUUGUGGACAAUCAAAUCGUUAUUUUUAGUUAGAACGUUAUAAUUAUCGUUUUAUAUGAAAAGAAACGAUAUCUAUAUCGCUAUACUUGAUUUGAAUUAGAACGAUUUCAAACUCGUUAAUUUUAUACUAAAACGAUAUGAAUGUCAUUACUUUCUUUGUGAUUUUAAUACAUAAGGAUAUCAUUAUCGUUCCAUUACAAGUUUGGCGACAUUGAUAUCGUUUUAACUUAAAUCAUAACUAAAACUAUAUACAUAUCGUUUCAGUUAAAAUAAAACGACAAUUAUAUCGUUUAUGCUAAAAAUAAAUAUUUGACCGUCCACAACCAUCAGACAUGCAUCUGACAGAUGUAGGACGAUCAAAAUAGAUAAUCAAGUGGGUUUGAUCUCCCUCAAAAGAAAUUAUGAGAACAUUUUUGUUCUCAUGAUUGUAUACCACAUUUAAACUAUUCUAGCAGAAAAUAUUUUCGUUCGCUCUUUUUAAGUCAUUCGAGUGGUAUCAAUCAACUUAAUGACCUUUUUCGAUUGUUCUACGUAUGCUCAAGGCAUAAUAUGUGGUUGUGACUGGUUGAAUCUUUAUAUUUAGCUAGAACGAUAUAAAUAUCAUUUUAUAUGAAAAUAAAUGAUGUCUAUGUCUUUAGCAUUGUGAUUUGAAUUGGAAUGAUUUCAAACUCAUUAAAUUUGUGCUAUAGCGAUUUAGAUGUCGUUGUCUUAUUUUGAGGAUUUGAUACAUAACGAUACUAUUAUCUUUUCAGUACAAUUUUGAUAACAUUGAUACGCUUUAGUUUAAAUCUUAACUAAAACGAUAAAAACAAUAAAUAUAAAAAUGACGGUUCGAUCGUCCAUGGUCACCUGACAUAUAUUCGUCGUACGUAGAGUGAAAAAAUAAGUCACUAAGUGAGCUCAAUCUUAUUCAACAGAAUGAAAGAUAGUAUCUCCAUUUGCUCUUUCUGAGUCAUUCGAGUACUAUCAAUCCACUUGAUGCCUUUUUUCGGUCAUCAUAUGUUGUUCUAAUUAUUAUUUAAAUUAUAAUGAUUUCAAACUUGUUAAAUUUGAAAAGAAACCAUACAUAUAUCGUUCUAUUUAUUAUUUUGUACCUAGGGAAAAAUUUCAAAGUCAUUAUUAGAAUAAGAGCAUUUUAUACUAGAACGACAUCAAGUGCUUUAUGUUCACCGGAACGAAGUGUAUAUCGUUACAUGAAUAUGCACAAUGUUCACAUUCUGAACAUCUACAAUACGUAAACUUGAAAAAUUAUAAAAAGCCACGAAAAUAUGUAAAUUUCAAUUACAUUUAAUAUCGUAGUUAUAACGUUCUAGUGUAAUCACUCUUGAAAUGAUAUGUAUGACAUUAUAGUUACGAUUGAAUAGGAACGAUAUCAUUGUCGUCGAAAAUUGUAUUGAAACGACAUAAACAUUGUUUACUUAUUUCCUAGUGUGCGCCUAAACCUGUUAAAUAGCGAAGCAAUGUGUGUUCAAUAUCGAAACGACAAUUACAUCGUUUUUUGUAUUCCAAGAACGAGUUCAAUGUCAUUAUACAAAUCUGUUAAGCAGAGUGUAUUCGAUUCUGAAACGAUAUCAAAGUCGUUUUAUUUUUCAGAAACGAUUUCAAUGUCAUUAUGUAAAUCAGUGAAACAGUGUCAGCAGCUCAUUUCCAUUCCACAUUUUUAUUAAGUUGAUAAGUUAUAUUUUACGAUUUCUUCAAACUGCAAUAUCUUGGUGCUGGUUUAUCUGCAUCGACUUUUUCUCGACUCGAAUAGUUCUUCUUAAUUACAAACUUUAAAAUGAGUCUAAUAUCGAUAUACUACACCGUUUUCUAUUAAAAUCUAAUUAUUGGACUCUAAUAAGAUAGAAAUUUUAAAAAUAUUUUUUUGUCCAUUUUUUUUCAAAAUAUAACGAUAAAUUUAUUUUAAAAAAUUUCAUGUGUUAUAAUAGAUGUCUAAUCAAUAAAUGACUCAGUAAUUAUUUUCGAUUAGUUUCUAAGUUGUGGACAAUGUUAAAAGUUUGAGUGCACCAGAGAUCAAUUACGAAGAAGAGAUGGUCUUAAACUUAAAAAGAAGAGUUCGAAUUCUAAGGACGAGAUGAUUUUGAAGGGGAAGAUUUUUUGAAUUUAAAGGAAGGGAAUACUGUGUGUGUUGGAACAUGAAUGCAUAGUUAUUAGAGUCAACCAGAUGAUCGACUCUAAAAAAAUCAUCAAGUCAAUAGUUCAACUGGUGGGUUAUUGUUAAAUUUUAAUUUUAAUUAAAAUUUAUUUUUGAAGUGAAAAUGAAACAAUAUUUUGAAAUGUAAUAUACGUAUUUUGCUCACAAAAGUUAAAGGACCAUCGAUUAUCAUCAUGGUUCUAGAGUUAAAAUAUUUUCUUGCCAACCAAAGUUCAAGACACGGCUCCAACAAAUUUAGAAAAAAACUCCAAUCUCUUCCUGAUUUUUGUAAACUCAAGAAUUAUAUAUACGCCCAUCAAGGACGGGACCUUCAUGCUUAAAAAUCGAGAUUUAGUUAAGUUCAAACUUUAUGUUAAUUUUUUUACUCUUCUUUCACAGGACAAAAUUGACCUAUUUAAGUGGAUUUUUACUAUAUCGGAUGCUCAUGUUUAGCCCAUUUUAUUAUAUAAUUUUUUUUAUCUAAUUAUGCUGCUUAUAACAAAGAUAUACAAAUAUUAACAUAAAAACAAGUAGCUUUAAAAGUUCAAUAUAGUAUUCAAAAUUACGAAAAUAUAUUUCUGUAAAGGUAUGUGUAAUUGGAGGACGAAAUUUCUUUAUGCAUUUUAUGUCUAAUAAGUUCUAUAAAGAAUCAUAUAAAUAUUUUAAGCAAUAAAAAAAAAGUCAUUAUUUUAAAGAAAUUAUGUCCAGCACUUCUAAUUUGACGGAUUAUAUAAUUAUAAUAGCUUUUCUAGAUAUAAGUUUAAAAUAACUUUACAUUACUGAAUACAUUAAUAAAUAGUUAUUUAACAAUUGGCAUGUGAUUAAAUUAAGCUCCUAUUUGGUGUAGUUUAAAAAUUAAUAAAAAUUUAAGUCAAAUUAAUAAUUAUUUUAAUUCAUAUAUUUAUCCUUUUUUGGUCCUCAUUGUUUAAAAUAUAUAUUUCUCUCUUUUUUCAACCAUGCGUUAUUCAAAAAAAUAAUAUUAUAAGCCUUAUUUUUGUUACAAUACACAUUAUUCAUUAAAAUACUAUUUCUAAAUGCAUUUUGAACAGAUAAUGAGGCUUAGUACUUAAAAAAAUUCACAAUUUAAUUUACUUUUCAGCCGCGAUUAUAUCAUUUUUCUUUAUCAGAAUCUACAAAAGAAAAAUGAUUUCUGUUGAAUAGAGGCUAAAUCCCUGUUUAGUUCAACUAAAAAAGUUACAAAAUUUUAAAUUAAAGUCAACAAUUAAUUUUAACAACACCAUUUAUGAGAUCUAUAACUUUUAUUAAAAAAUUUUAAAAAUUUUGUCCAUGUUUGAGCUCCGUUUUUAUCAAAACUUAUUUGUUUUUGAAAAAAAAAAAAUUAAAAAUAAUUUCAUUUUUAACCAUACAUUCUUACAUAAAAUAAUUUCACACUUAAAGCUCAAAAUUUUACCUUACAUUUUAACCACUCAUUCUUCAAAAAUAACAAUUAUAACCCCAUUUUCUCAUAAAAUGAGGUCCAAACAUGGGCUUAAUUAUCAGCAAAAAAGGAAAAACUAUUGAUAUUUUCCAGAUACAAAUAAUAUAGGUACUUUGGUCAUUUAAGGAGCAUUGAUAGCGGGGGUACGGUAAAGGACAUGAAACCAUAGUUGUAAAUAAUAGUAGUUGAUGAGGGCAAUACUGGAAAAAUGAAAGUAAAAAAAUUCCCCAUCUUGCGUAAGACUAUGGGUGUCAAAAAGGCUCAAUGGCUCAGCGGCGGGUCGAUGGCUCAGGCGGCCCGCCGCUGAGCCCCAUUUUGAGGACACAAGUUGAGCUCUAACCGGUCAACGAGCCUUUAAUUUAAAAAAAAAAAUCUAUAAAAGAGGAAAAAGGCAACAAAUUUUGCCUUUUAAAAGGCAUAGUUUGCUGCCUUAAAAAAAAAAAAAAAAAAAAAAAAAAAAAAAAAAAAAAAGAGCACCAAAAAAAAAAAAAAAAAAAGGCCAAGGUAGCCCAGAAAAGAUAAAAAAAGAGCCGACCUGGCUCAGCUCGGGCUCCUAAAAAAGCUCAACCAUUUUCACCAAGCCGAGCUCAAGCCGAAAGUUUUAAGCUCAGCUCGUUGACAUCCCUAAGUAAGACCAAAUUUAUUCCGUGGAGAAAUUAUUUGAGGAAGGACAUAUCACACAUAAUGAUAAUUCUUGUGCGGAACGUACGAACAUUUUGAACAAAGACAAAACCUAAUUUAAUUCUUAAAUAGUUUUAGGUACCUAAAAUUAAUUAUUCUAGAAACCGUUGGCCCCACCACCACCACUCAAACUGUAUUGAUUCUGUGCCUAUCGUACCUACGUUACCCUGAUAAGAACGACCCAAUUUAGAGGUGUAAGCGGUCUGAUUUUAUCGAUUUUUGAUUGAUUUUCAAACCAAAACGUUUAAAUCGGUGUGAGAGAAACCCAAAUCUAAACUAAACCAUUUUAAAAGGUUUGAAAAAAAAAACUCAAACCCAAACCUAAUAGUUUGGUGUGAUUUUAAAUCGCCGAUUUCACCGUAUAUUUUUUUGCAUGACUACUUUUACGCCAUCAAUUCAUUAAAUUUAAUAUAUAUUUAUAUCUCACUAGCAAUAAAUCUAAAACAAACUAAAUAUAUCUACUAUAAAUUUAAAUACCAACUAAAUCAAAGUGAAAUCACAAUAAACUAAAACAUAGUUUUUUGUUCGCCAUUUUGAGGCUAAUGAUGUUACGAUAACGUUACAAUAAAAGUCUACUAAACUAAAUAUGAGGCCAAAAAUAAUAAUGAUGUCCAACAAGUCGUGAUCAUCAUAUCUGCAAGAAAAAAAUGUUACUGAUUAGACAAAGAGAAUAACAAGCAACAAUAAUAAAGCAAUUUUUUUAUAAUAUCUAAACAUAAUAAUUACUAGGCCUACGCAUUUUAAUCGGAACUGAAUCUCCCAAACCAGAAUUAGAGGUUCCAAUCCGGUUCCCGAAAAAUGAAUUAGGAACUAGAACUGAGAACCGAUUGGGUUCAGUUCGGUUAUUAGUUCUUGAACCAGAACCGUGGGUACUCGAAUGGAAUCGAUUUCUAUAAAUAAAAAAAAUUAUUUAUAAUUUAUUGGCUGGGAAAAAUAUAUAUAACCUAAAAAUCCUAAUUUUGGUGGUAAAUUGUUUCAUACUUUUUUUAUAUCUCACCUUACAUCAGAUUGUUACACCUCAGAGAUUAUUAUAUGUUAUUAUUUACAAUUUGAGCUUUUUAUAGAUCAAAGAUUUCAAACAGAUUGUAAUAUAAGUUGAUGAAUCAAAGUGUUCAUUUUUUUGUAAUUCAAACUUUUCACUUUCUUGUAUUAUUAAUAAACUUAAGUGAUUUUUUUUCAUAAUGCAUGACAAUUGAAUUUGAUAUAUUCACUGUUCACGCCGUGUUUUAAUUUUUUGUUAUCAUGAGUUCGUGGUUCUCUUUUUAAAUAUUUUUUAUUUAAAUGGAGCGAGUUUAAUAUGUGGACCAUAAUUUUUUGAUACUAUAUUAGCUAUGUAUUUAAUUAGUAUUUUUUAUAUUAGUUCGUUUUACAAGUAGAAGAAUUUAAGCAUUAUCCAUAAUUAAAUUAUAUGCCUGGUAUGCAUAUCUUAGAGAUCUAAUAAGAUUUAUUAAGAAAAGUAUUUUUUUUUAUCAAAUUACAAUUUCAUUUUUGAUUUUUUUUAUUUUCUCCUAUUUUCAUGACUUUUAGUAUCCAAUAUUUUCCUUUUUGAAGAUUUUUUAACUGGAUCUUCUCCAUUGCACAUAUAUUUUCGAGUAACAGCGUACUAGGUAUAUCCGUAUAUGUACCAGAAGGAUCUUUGUGAAAUAUUUAUUAAAAAUAUGUAUAUAAAAAUGUUGUAGGUAGAAUCGAAAUCGAAUUGAAACUGACGGUUCGGGUUUGAAUUUGAUUCCAGUAUUUACAAAGACCCGAAUAAUUUUAUUUGUGAAAUACCCGAAGUAUAAUGAGUGGUUUUGGGUAUUGAAAUAUCCGGACUGUCUCACUCGAUGACCAAACCUAACAAUUGCUCCGUUUCUAUUUCGUGUUAUUCAAGGGGUGUAAGACUGUAAUUAAUGUAGUCCAAGCCCAAAUUCUUCCUCUUUUCUAUUUUGGAGUUUAUAUGACUUUUGAGGCCCUCGGCCCAAGAUAAAAAUUAAAACUUGACAAAAAUAAAAUAAUAACUAAUUAGGAUUAUUAGGUAAUAAUAAUAUAUAUGUAAUAUAAAAUAAAAAAUUGACAAAAAUACUCACAAAUGACAAAAGUCACAAAACUAUUGAAUUUUACAUAUUUCGAUGAAUUUUCAAAAAAUUUCAUUUUUUUAAUUUUUAUAUGUUUUUUCACCAAUCCCAUUUGAUUUCAAAUCGCAAUUAAAAUUCUCAAAUCUAAACCAAACAGUUUUUGACCGGUUUGAUUUGGUUCAAAACCAUUUCGUUAAUUGGUCCACGUGGCACCAAAUCGACGAUUUUUAAAAUGCGAUUUCGGUUCAAUUUUUCAAUUUGACAAUUUUUGCUUACAGUCCUAGCCCAAUUGAUGUCUUGUGAGUUAAUUUCACUAAUGAUCCCUUGACUUCAAGAAAAUUUCAAAUUAAUCAUUAAAAUACAUAUUUUUUUAUGACCAUUUGUGGUAGCUGUUAAACCUAAACCUUCAAGUGGACCAACGACCAUUAGAGCAAUCAAUCCAUUCUAGUUGAGAUACUCUUUUCGAUUUGUUGUUGUAAGUGUUAUGCCCUAAAUCCAAUCAACCUUGGAUAUAAAUACUUUUAAUAUAUAAUUAAUGCAAUUUUAUGACACAUCUAUUAUUUAAUUAAUAUUCAAUUAAAUUAGAUAAUAGAGUCUGUGAUUCGAAUCUUGAUAAUUUGUUAAUCACAAGGAAUUGUGAUUGUGAGAUACAAAUUAAAUAUGAUUGAAUCUUAAAUCGUCUAUGGUCGUAAAUAAUGAUAUGAUACAGAUAUUGUUAUUACAGAUAAACCAUUACGUGUGACAUUUAUUACUUGUGAACUAAAUAACUGAUCUCACAAGUUAAAGUGUAGUGAUACUUAAAUGAACACGUAGAUAUUUUGUUAUAGAACAAACAUUGGAGACUCGUCGGGAGAUUCCACAUGGAUAACUAUCUAAGUGUUAGUGGUUAAUCUUUAAUGUUCGAUAGUGGGAUUGGUCCUUUAACUUGAAAUCGUCAUGGUACCUUAUAUAAGGACGGUUAUGUUUUGACGGUGUUGGAUGUUGCUCUGCUAAGGGCCGUUAAUACAGUAACAUUUAGGUAUGUCAAGAAUAGUAUGAAUGUUGUGAAUGAUUAAUAGAGGAUUCGUCAUUCUUAGAUAAUAAGAGACUAUGAUCUGCAUUUCAUUCAAUUAAGUCGAUAGCGAAAUCCUUGACCAAUGUGUACUCAUAAGUCGAAAAGGAAUUUUUGACUUAUAUUGACUUAAUAGUAGAGUGAAAGAUAUGAUUGAUAAUCGAGAUUGACACACUUUCAUAUCUCGUAAUUGAUUGGAUCAUAUUGACGAAAGGAUUAUAGUUUCAUGGUAAAUGAACGAGUUUGAUUUUUUCAUAUCACGUGACAUUUUCCGUCACAUGUAUUGCCCUGAUACAUUGCUAGAUGUCAAUCUGCGACGGCUAGUGUGAAUUGGUGAUAAAUUAAAAGAGUGUUUUAAUUUAUCAAUUUUGAUUAGAUCAAAAUAAUAUUUCAUGUCGUUAGGCAUUGUGAUUGAAAACCUGAUGGGUCGCACGCAAAAAGAGAACUGGAAGAUUGUGAUUUGUCAAUUAAUUAAUUUAACAAACGUUGGAUAAAUUAAUUAAUUGAGUUGCUCAUUUAAAGGCCUGGAUUAAUUAAUUCACGGACAGAAUUUAAUUAAAUGUGUUAAUUAAAUAUUGGACGGGAUCAGGCCAAGCCCAUUCGGGCUUCUAUAAAUAUGACUAGGAUUUUCAAUAUCUGUAGAGAAUUCAUUAUUAUUACUAGCACAAAAAAAAAUCAUAAUCUUACAAUCUUGUUCUCUGUGUGGAUCACCAUUGGAAGUUGGAUAAUUGGACAGCUGUAGAUGGCAAAUCAAGAUCAUUGGCAAAGGAGUUUGCAGAUCUAGAAAAAAUGUAUGAUCUUUAUCACAAUUUCUAUCUAAAUAUAAAGACGAUUCCUGGUGAGAAUUGAAAAACUGUUUUAUUUUUCGCUGUACAUGAUAAGUAGAUUCCCAACAGUCGCAACCUUUUUACAUGAUGAAAAAUAAGAUUGAAGUGAAAGGGAAUUAUUCGAAUUUUAUAGAGAACUUUAAUCUUUAAAAUAAAAUAAAGAUAUUGACCAUGGUCCAUGUCUGGAAUCCUAUCACUAAGCGGGAUUGAGUGGCUCGUCCUUAUUCCAUCAAAUCUCGUUGCAUCCUUAAACAUGGACACAAUUUUUAGUCGAAUUUAAUGAUGAAGGAGUAGAUUUUUGAUGUAGACCAGACAUCUUAUGACCAAUUAUUUUACAUGAUUUAACUUUAGGGACUAAAAUUUUCGAAAAAAAUAAUUUAAGAUCAAUUUAAAAUUUCGGAUAAAACUUUAGGGGAGUGUUCUUUCUACAGAGAUUUGUUGACAUAUAAAUUUAAAUCAAUCUAAUGGUUUAAAUUUAAUUUUUCAAUAAAUUUAUAUAUAAAUUUGAACACAACAUUCCCACAUUUACACCUCUUGCUAUUCAAAAUCACCCAACCCUAGCCUUUUAUCUUCUACUUUCCCACCUUCUAAUUUCGAUUGCCCAAUAAAUAAAUAAAUAAAUAAAAAAUAAAAAAAUUAAUCAUUGAAGAUAACGAAUUAUGUAGGGGUGGAUCCAAGACCGGGCUAUAAAAUUUCCAGCCGAGCUAAUCCGUUAAAAAAAAAUUAUACAUAAAAAACUGUUUUAAAAAAAAUAAUGAAGAAGAAGAAAGAAAAAUAAAAAUAAAUUCUUGGGCUUUUGGGGGACUAAGCCCCCCUUUACAUCCGUCCCUGGAAUUAUGGAAUGAUCUGACAUCAUCAGUGCCAUUGUUACAUGCUUCGGAUAUGGAUCGAGUAAUAGGUCGAUUGACGGAUAAGGACCAAGGAUCGUUCUUACGUUGACGACCUAUAAUGGUGAUAUGGUUGGACACUUCAAGGGGUCCGAGGCCUCCUUGUAUUGUUUAAUUCGAGUAAACUAAUAAAACUCCUAAAUCAACACAAGGUUGAAGACAAAUUCAUUUUAUAGUUUUAUUCGCUUUUCUCUUACUAAUAAAUAGCCAUUACAAGAUACCCCUUUAUGGGAACAGCAAAUUACAAGAACAAACAUUAUUGUAAUAAAAGAGCAAUAUGGAAAAAUAAAUUAUAAGGCUAAUCUUAAUUGGAACUAAAAAAGAAAUUAGGAAAUUAGACAAUUAUCUUGGCCAAGAUAAUUGUCUAAUUAUCCGUUACAAUUCCUUCCCUCUUGGAAAUUUCCUUGUCCUCAAGGAAAUAAGGAAAUCGGUUAUUGAAAUCAUCAAAGUCCUCCCAAGUGGCAUCAGCUGGAAAAAGAUUCUGCCAAUGGAUCAACAAUUCAUAUUUCCCUUUAACGUGCCGCAUUUCCAAAACUGCCUGAGGAAGUGGGUGUGGGGCAGAUCUUGUGGGAUAGGUGGCAAGGAAGUUGCAACAAUGUCGUGAUCCCCGAUGCCCUUUUUUUUUUUUUUGUUUGAAGGCCCUCUAUGCCCACGUAACUCCACCGAUCUGCCCUUCCUAAGAAAUCUCAUCCAUGAUUCCCUAAAGUCAAAAGUAACAUGGCCUAGUGUGUCAAGCCAUUGGAUGCCAAAAAUUGCGUCACAACCUUCCACUGGUAGAAGGAAAGCAUCAACUUGGAAAUCAAUUUUUUGGACGGUGAAACACGUGGAUUCGCAUAACCUUUCACUCUUCAUUUUGUUGCCAUUUGCCACUUGUACUGAAAAUGCCCCUAGUUUUGUAGCCUUGAUUCCCACUUUGGAAGCCACCUUAGAACUAAGAAAAUUAUGGGUGCUACCAGAGUCUAUCAAAAUAGUAAUUGGGAUACCCCCAAUCUUGCCAAGUAAACGUAUGGUUCUUGGAUUUGACGUUCUCAAAAUAGCAUGGAAGCUAAUUUCAGGUAUUUUGGUUUCAAGCUCUUCCUCCACAAUUACUUCAUCCUUGGAUUCCUCCGAAGAAGGGAGUAUGCCUUCGAUGAAAAAUAAUUUCUUACAUUGAUGUCCCAGCGAGAAUUUCUCGUCACAAUUGAAACAAAGCCCGCGAGAUCUCUGAUCUUGUAAUUCCGUUGGACUUAGUCUUUUUAUGACGGGGUUGCGUGCCCGUGUGAGUGACGCCGAAGGUAUAGGAGAAGGCCCGGGAGUCAUGGGGGCCUUCCUAAACUCCGAGAUCCCACUUCUACGUUGGUCGAUAAGCCUUGACUCGUAUAGGCGUACAAGCCCAAUGGCGGCAGAUAAGGAUACUGGAUUGCAUGCUUGGACAUCAACACGCAAACUUUCCUUCAAGCCGCUGAUAAAGCAUCCCACUUGUUGUCCCUCGGAAAGAGAUCCUCCUCGGUGUAAUAAUCGAUCAAACUCCAUUUGGUAAUCAUGAACACUCCUUGUUUGCUUAAGCUUCGUGAGAUCUCCAAAAAAAUUAUGGUACCGCGAUGGUCCAUAACGAAGAUGGAGUUCAUAUUUGAAGACUUCCCAGUUCACGCCUUCUCGCCUCACCUUAAAACUUUAGUACCAUAGUUGGACAUCCCCAUCCAAAUGAUACCCCGCCAAUGGCAAUUUAUCCGCUUCCUCAGUUUGGUGAAAAUCGUAAAAUUGCUCCACACGACAAAUCCACCCGGUCGGAUCAUCCAUGCCAUUAUAGCGUGGAAAAUCUAACUUUGUUAUUUUUGGUGCAGUGAAUUCUCCACUCGUAGAUCCUCGAGAGUUGAUGUAAGAGGAACCUUCUCCAUUCUUGCGUCCUUUGCCCGACCCUUCCUCCCGUUGAUGGGAGAACAUGGCGAACAUGGAUUCCAUCGUUUUCUGGAGUGAUUCCAUCGAUUGUUGCAACGAGCCUGUUUCGCCCUCCAAUAUAUCAACACGGGGGUCGGAUAUGGCUUGCUCUGAUACCAAGUUGUUACGUGCUUCGGAUAUGGAUCGAGUAAUAGGUCGAUUGAUGGAUAAGGACCAAGGAUCGUUCUUACGUUGAUGACCUAUAAUGGUGAUAUGGUUGGAUACUUCGAGGGGUUCGAGGCCUCCUUGUAUUGGUUAAUUCGAGUAAACCAAUAAAACUCCUAAAUCAACACAAGGUUGAAGACAAAUUCAUUUUAUAGUUUUAUUCACUUUUCUCUUGCUAAUAAAUAGCCAUUACAAGAUACCCCUUUAUGGAAAAAGCAAAUUACAAGAGCAAGCAUUACUGUAAUAAAAGAGCAAUAUGGAAAAACAAAUUAUAAGACUAAUCUUAAUUGGAACUAAAAGAGAAAUCAGGAAAUUAGACAAUUAUCUUGGCCAAGAUAAUUGUCUAAUUAUCCAUUGCAGCCAUCCACCAUGUUGUUGAUUGGCAACACUACGAAUAUUUUUUUUCAUCUUUGUUAAAGGUUGAAUCCCAAUCUUGAGGGCCCCCACCGUCCAGCUCCUAAAGUUUUGUGAGGGAGGUAAAUUACGGGAUAUGCCCUAAUAGGCUAGGAAACAAGAGCUGUAUGUACACUGCGCCUAUAAGGAGUCCAAUUCCAUGUUUCAGGAGUCGAACCCCCACACUGUGGCUGCCAGCAAGACGUGAGAUAACCUCACUUCUGUCAUUUGCACAACUAGGAUAUGCCCCGGGGCUGUAUUUUUUUAUUUUUGUCAUCUUUGUUGGUUGGAGUAGUGGUGGUUCUCAUUCACGUUGUGAUAAGGAAAACUGACGAUCUAUCUGUCGAUUUGGAGGAAAAAACAUACAAUCACCCACCUUGUUUUCCAGUAUCGUGUGCUUAAUCAAAUUAACAAUAAUUAAAAAUUCUCGUAGUAGUUCGAUAUAAUAAUAAUAAUAAUAAUAAUAAUAAUAAUAAUAAUAAUAAUAAUAAUAUUCUCAAGCAAUUUGGAUAAGGACUUUCCCGUUAGUACUUAUGUUCUUAAUUCACAACUUUUUCGAGCCUAUUGUUUUCUCGGUAUGGAAAACCAAACAUUUUCUAUGGGCUACGAUUACUAUACCUUAAUUAAUAUAGAUUGACUGAUUAUCUUUAUUCUAAUUUUGAACCAUUAGAUUGAUUUAUAGAAAUGGAUGAGAUUCUUUGUCCAAUUUAUAUGUCAAAAAUCUUUGUAGGGGGAACGCUAUCUGAACUUUAGUGAUAAUUUAAGGAGAGUUUUCUGAGGGAAGUCGAGACUGAUGCUGGCUCCAACCAAAUCCAAUACUUAAUUCGUCAACGACUAUUUAUUAUAAUGCCACUGGGGAUAUUAAUGUCCAUUUAUUGAAAGUACAAGCGUAUGCAACGUAUGGACGACCCAGCAAGGAGCAUUCAAUUAUAUUCCGUACGAUUUUACACAACGCUUGGACUUUGAAUUUUGGUGCAUCCUUAUAAAAGGAGUAAUAUUAUUAGCAAUUGUAUAUUACAGUAAUCUUUUUACGUGACAUAUAUAUGACAAUUAGUGAUUUGACGCAUCAAUGUGAUAGUAUUUGAUUGUCUAAUGUAUCAAAUUACUAAUCGCCACAUGUAUGCCAUGUAAAAUGACUACAGUAAUGAGUGACUGCAAAUAACAUUGUUCUUAUAAACGAGUAGUUGAAUAAAUUUUGACAUUAACUAAGUGAAUGAGGUCCAAUCUUCCUUAAUCUCCCUUGAGUGGCUGGACCUUGAUCGACCUCAACCACUCCCAAAAAGGAGAUAUAUCGACCAUAAGGUCGGACCAAGGGCUGAUCCGACCCUUGUCAAGAAAGUUGAAAUUUAUGAUUUUGUAUAACUUGUUGCUAUUUGCAACGUGUCAAAAUUAAAUUUUAGACGAGAAAAAUAUCUUCCAUCUGAGCGGUCCUCAUAAAAGAUAACGAAGCAAUUCAAAAAUGGUAAUAUUUAAAAUUAAAAACUUUUGGGAUUAUGUUUUCAUAAAUUAAUCACGUGAUAAGGACAAGAGUUCCGUGUAAUUCUAAAACAAUAAUCAACUUAACCAGUAACGUGAAAAUAAUGAAAGUUUUUCAUGUUUCUAGUUGAGUAAUCUACUGUUAAAAAAAAUACUAGAAUGUUCUUACUUUAAUAAUAAAUCACGUAAUCAUUUAUCGAUAGGUUAGAACACGAAAUCAUUAAGCCUUAUUUGAGCCACAUUAUUGGAAUGAAAAUACAUUUUUGAAUAGUGUAUUGAUGGAAAAUAUAUGGUUAAGAAAUAAGGAAAAAAUUUGGAUUUACGUGUAACAUUACUUUAUUAAAAAAUGUGUGGUUGAAAUGAUAUCAAUUUACUGUUAAAAAAUAUUUUUUUUUGAAAAAAUGUGGCUCAAAUAAAACCUAAAUAAAUCACCAGAGGAAGUUUGUAUGGCCAAAUAUUGUCAUCCCAAUAGGAUGAUGGGUUAUGCUAUUUGUACGCUCAUUUUUUACAUCACGAUUGACAUUUGCUGUGUUGUCAAAAAAAGAUUGGUUGAAAUUUUUUUUUUUAAAUUGUCAAAUUAAAUGAUGUCAUGUGACAGAGUAUAAUCAAUGAUAUAAGAAAUGAUGUAUAUCAAUCAUGAUUGUAAUACUAUAUUCUUCUUUAUAUUUCAUAAAAUAAACUUCAGAUGUAUGGUUCUACACCAAACAUCGACCACACAAGUCAUAUGCCAACUCUGACUAGUGAUCAACUAAGGAAGGACUCUACUCUCUCUCUCUCUCCCCCCUUUUUUUUCUCUCUUUUUUUUUUUUUUCCUUAGAGGUGGACUCUUACACAUAAAAGAUACCAAAUAGUCACAACAAGUCAUAUUAGUUUUGAUCUAUAAAUUCUUGAUAUAUCGUAUUUGCUAAGAUUGAAGUAUUAUGGCAGCGAUAUUACAAUUCAACGAAAAGAUGUAAAUUGUAUUUUUUUCAGACAAUACUCGUUAAAUAGGAUGACUUUCAUUUGAAAUCACUUCAAUUUAGUUUUAACUGAAUAAUUAAACUUUGAUUUUAGUUUUACUUUUACUAUUUUGCACCACAUAUCAUCUCUCAAUUUGAUGAAAAUUGUUUAAUUGAGGCACGUAACGCAACGGAUCUUCCCACUAAAUCGCACUACUCCAUAGAAGUCAUUUAAUUUUCUUAUUAAAGAUUUCGUACCUUAUUUAUUUAUUUAUUUAUAUAUUUUGGAAUUUCUCGAGGAUAAUGGGCAUGUAAGUACAUAGGGAGAUGAAGGGAUAAUCCAACUUAGAGGAAAUUACAGGAUUUCCGGCAUUUAAAGAUGUGAGUGCAAAAAUCAAGUACAAAUGUUUUUUUAAUCAGAAAUCAAGUAUUAUUUAUACCUACACUACCUAAUCCAAACAAACCCUAAUCAUUUUUUCAUAUUCUCAGAUUUUUCACUUCUCGCCUCCUUCAAUCUCUCUUUCCACCGUCUCCCUCUCUACCCUCUCUCUCCCUCAAACAUCCAUCAUCGUUGAAGAGCACCGCCGCCAGAGACGUGAGGGUUGAGCGACGGCAUAGUUGCUGUGGUGCGGCGCCCUCGCAACCGGUGUUGUGAGCAAUCUGGCUGGUCGAAGUCGUCACUUGUCGAUAUGAUCGCCGUGGAGUCAACGCUCAAAGCAGCAUCAUCAUGGCUGCGCUGUGCGACCAUCUAGUUGACAGCGAUGCAACAGUGGCUCGACGCACAAAAGUGUGUAAAAGUCGGUUUGUUGGUGUAGUGUGAAUGGAAGCCGGUUUGUGUUGGUGGCGUGUGAUGUGAGUUCCAUGUUUGUGGAAGUCGAUUUUGUUGGUGCUAUGUGGGUGUUGUGGUGUGUUGCAGUGUGAUGAUGUUCGUAUUUUUGGCGGUGACAGUGUUGGUGGUCGAUUUGGAAGCGGCGAUAGUGUGGUUCAGACGGCGAUGGUGAUUUUUUUUUUUUUUUUUUUUUUUUUUUUUUGUGGUGGCGAUGGAUCUGGUUGCAUUGAUUUUGUUGAUGUUGGUGUUGUUGUUUGUGUUGGCGGUGGCGUUGGCGGUGGCGACGGGGUGAUGGUGGUUGCAAGUGACGGUGGUGGAAUUGGAGUUGGUGGUGAUCGGCUAUUUGACAUGUGAUCUUAAAAUUCGAUCAUCUAUGACUAAAAAAAGUAAUAUGUGACUAUCAAAUUUGAAAAUAUGUGACAUGUGACUAUAAUUUUUUGGAUUUGUGACCUAUAAUUUUUUCAUAUGUGACCUCAACAAUCUGUGACUUAUAAAAAUUGUGAUUUGUGAUCUCGAAAAAAUAUGUAACUAAUUAAUUUGAUGAUAUGUGACCGAUAAAUAAAAUCUAUGACCUAUAAUUGUGAAUAUGUGACCAUGAAUAGUAUAAUUGUGGCUUUAUUAUCAUUAUUUAACAAAUAUUUUUAAUUAAUUAGCUAAACCUGAUUUUUGCACUAAAGAAACUUGUAACCUGGAUUUUGAAUUGGGCAUAGUUAACACCUGAUUUAUGAACUCUUCCCUCCAACUUAUUAAUGCAAUAAUUUGGCCCAAAUCCAGUAUUGUGAGAGAAUUUUAAAAGAGAUUUAAGAAGCAUUUUUAGUCUAAUCUUAAUUAAUUAUUGCAUAAUAGUCUAAUAAAUAAAGUACAAAAUAAAUACACAAGUAAAUUGGUGAUGGUCCUAUAUUCAACAAAACCGUACGUAUUCAACAUUUUCAUAGAAAUUCGUCUUAAAUAAGUAAUUUUUAAAUUUUUUUUAAUAAUAAUCAAUUUAAAUAAGUCAUAUAGAAAGAUCAACCCCGGUUUGAUUUAACUAAUUAUAUUCUUAGUAGAUUUUAAUGAAAAUUAAUGAAAUGUGUAAUUAAAAUGGGACAAAUUGUAGGUCCCAUGAAAAUAUGUUGUUCAAAAUGAAUUUUGAAAAAAUGGGAUCAAACAAGAGCUAACAGUCUUCUACGAUUUUAGUUUAUCAGUAUCCAACCACGUGAAACUUUGAGUAUGUUUCCAAAUUUUGCCCUUAUUUAAUUCUUGAAAUUUUAUUGCUCGUGUUUAGAUACACUCGAAUUUGAUAUUUACUUAUUGCUUAGCCUUCUAAUUUGACUUUAUUUCAUCGCAUUCUAAUUGUACAACAUAUAUCCCACAAUUAAUAAAAAAACACAAUCUUGGACCAAAUCCCCCUUCUUCAUUUUUUUUUUUAAUAAUGAGUCAAUUAAAUUCAUACAAAUAUCAGAUUAAAUAACAUUUAAAUGUAAAUUCAUCUGGCCCGGCAACCUUAGAACAAAUGUAAUUAACAAUAUUUAAUGGACUUUACACCAAAUAUCAACUCCACCACAUGCUAACUAUAGGAAAUUCUGUAUUAAGAAAAGAAGAAAAAUAAAAAUUUCAUUUAGUGUAUUAAUGUAGUAUUGUAUAAUGUUGUGUACUUAACUAUGUUAUGCAUUCAAAUAUCUAAGGGCUUAAAUGGUAAUUUAAUUGAAUAUUAAGGAUGAUGUGUGUUUUUUGAAGACUCGAAUACGUAUUUUUUAAUAUAAGUUUUCGAUAAAAUAUAUUUGUUUUAAUUCAUGUAUUAAAUUGUAGUUGAACAUGUGUUUUUCAAAUCACUGAUGAUCAAAUGUAUAAUUAUUUUAUUAAUAAAUUAUAGCUCCUACAUCAAAUAUAUAAUUAUUAUAACCUAGAGGUUUUUUUCAAUAGGAAUUAAACAUUCACAAAUAAAAUCUUAAGUCAGAGACGAUUCAAGUAAAAUUAAGUAGAAUAAAGUAAUUAAUUUGUUGAAUGGUCAAAUGAAGAAUAAAUUCAACAAAAAGAUUGCCAAACCCUGUACUGUGAGAAAUUUUAAGAGAGAUUUAAGGAGCCUUAUUAGUCUAAUAAGUACAUUUAAGUACACAAAAAUAAAUUGGUGAAGGGGAUGGCAAAAAUACCCGUCAAACUCGAUAUUUGCGAGAAUUACCCGCUUAAUCAGGUAAUUGGGUUGAGUGUAGGGUGGCUAAACCCCCUCGAAGCGGUGUAACGGGGACAAUAAAAUGAAGUAUAAAAAACUAUAAAAAAAAAUAAAAUUAAAUGUGUACGUAAACGGGGCAACCGCCUAGUACCGCCCCAGCCCGUCCCGCCUUAAACGGGUAAUGAAACGGUAGAGGGCGGGGAAAUGCCCGCACCGCUCCAAACCCGCCUCGUUGCCAACCCUAAUUGGUGAUGCAUAUUCAAAACUUUCAUAGCAAAUUCGUCUUAAUUUUUAAUACUAACCAAUUUAAAUGUCAUAUAGAAAGAUAACCCCUUCUGAUUUAACUAAUAUUGUAUUUUUAGUAAAUUAUAAUAAAAAUUGAUUAGUGUAUUAGAAAGUGGAUAAAAUUGUAGACCCCAUAAAAAUGUGUUGUUUCAAAUGACUUCAAAGAAAAUGAGUUUCAGAAAAUUGAGUAAAACAAGAGCUAAAAGUCUUCUAUGAUAUUAGUUUAUCAGUAUCGAACCACAUGAAACUAUGUGUAUUUUUUUUUCCAAAAUUUGCCUUUAUUUAAUUCUUGAAAUUUUGUUGCUCGUGUUUAUUAUUGCUUAGCUGAAUUGGACAACAACUAAUCCUCUCUCUCAUAAUUAAUAAAAAGGAUAACUAUCACAAAACAUUUCUAUUUUUCAAUAUUAUUGUGUAAAUCAUCCAUACUUUUCUUUUUCUUUUUUGUUUGCAUUUUCUCCCUUAAUUUUAUCUUUCAUUGUAGAAAUCAUCAUUUUCAUCUAUUUUUAUCCAAUUUCUCAAUAAAAAAUAUAAAAGAACAAAUAUACUCUCAUAUUUAAAUAAAAAAAAAGAAUAAUAAAGAAUAAAAUGCAAUUAUACUCCCAAGCUUUAAAAAAAAAUGCAAAUGAGUCCAAAUAAAUUAUUAAAAGGGCAAUUAGCACAAAAUGUCUAUACUUUUCAAUAUUAUUGUACAAAUUACAUUUCAUUUUUUUUUUGUAUUUCUUGGGUAAUUAGAACAAGACGUACUCACAUUUCAUUUUUUAACAUUUUCAUCCUUUUUUUACAUUCCACUGUGAAAAUCAUCACAUUCAUCCAUUUUAAUCUAAUUUCUCAAUAAAAAAAAUGUAUAAUAACAAAUAUAUCCACCUAUUUAAAUAAAACAAAAAAGUAAAGUAAAAUAAAGAAGAAAUUGCAAUUAUACUUCCAAACUUAACAAAAAAUUUAAAUGAGUCUAAACAAAUUAUUAAAAGAGUAAUUAGCAUAAAAUAUCACUGCCUUUUACUUUGUUUAUAUUUUCACCAUUACCUUCUCUUUCAUGACCAAAAUCAUCAUUCCAUUUUCAUCCAACUUUUCAAUUAAAAAAAAAUGUAAAAUGAUAAAUAUAUUCUCCUAUUUAAAUAAACAAAAAUAAAGAACAAAUUAUAAUCAUAUUCCCAAACUUUUUAGAAAUGUACGAAUGAGUUCAAAUAGAUUAUUGAAAUAUUAAAAAUUUAUCUUUUUCUCUUCUCCUCCUACUCCACCACCACCAUGAACAAUAAACAAUUCCCAACGCCCCCCGGAGCAUAGCCUAGUGGUACAAAGGAUAGAAGUGAGGUUAUCUCACUCCUUGCUAGCAGUCGUAAUGUAGGGGUUUGAUUCCUGAGACAUGGAAUUGGAUUUCUUGUAGGCGCAGUGUACAGACAGCUCUUGUUCCCUGACCUGCUGGGGUACAUCCCGCGAUUUACCUCCCUCACAAAGUUCUAGGAAUAAGACAGUAGCGACCCUCAAGAUUGAGGUUCAACUUUUUUUUUUUAAUAAACAAUUCCCAAUAUAUAUUAUUGGGCAAUAGAAUUUGUGGCCAAAAUUAGAUCAACCUGACUGUUUAUUGGGGCAAUUAAACUCAAACCCACAGUCGUGUGAUGUUGAUGAGAAUUGAACAUGUGGCACAUUAUGUAAAUCAAUACCCUCAAACCCAUGAAUUGAAAGAGACACAGUACACGUUUUCUGCGCACAGCAAGAGGGAAUUCCAAGACAUAUCAGCAUUAUAUUGUACUAUUUUUGUGAUGUUUCUCCACGAGUAUGGACGACUAGAUGACGUGGAUUGGUCAGCAAUAGUGAAAGACCAUAGGUAUUGACAGAAUGACCAAAAUUGGUGAAAAUGCCAUGCGAUUUUUGGUGUAUUUGGGGCUAAUUUUGAGUCGAAUUUGUGGCUAUUUGUGUAUUUUUUGGUUGUAAUGGAUUGAUGGAGUAUUGGAGUCAGUGGAAGGGUGAAAUUCUACUAGUUUUGACGUGACAACACGAUGCAUUUGGGAGGAAUGGGUGGCGGCUCCAUGAAGGGGCAAAAAUUGCCCCUUUCUAGAGAGAAAAAGUGGAAGGCUAGGUGAUGGAUUUGAGGACAUAUCACUAAAUUUGGAUCAUUCUCCAAUUGAUAGAAGAAUGGGGCAUUGAAAGGUGAUGAUAGUGGUGAUUGAUGCUGGUGGAAGAGAAAGAAUGAAAGAUAGUGAUUUUUGUUUUUUUAAUUAUUUAUUUGAAAUUUAUUUGUUUUUUUUUUGAAAAUUUUGGAAAAAUAGUUGCAAUUUGUUUUUUUUUCUUUUCUUUAAAUAAGAGGUUAUAUUCAUUAUUUCACAAUUUUUAUUUGAAAAAAUAGAUGAAAAUAAUAAUUUUCAUAAUGAAAGGUGAGUACACACACACACACACACACACACACAACACCUACAUCAAACAUAUAAUAAUUAUAGGAAGCCGCUAUUUACAUUCACAAUUGUUAUUUAUCUAUAUCACUUUAUAUCUAUUUCUAUCAAAGUUUAAAAAUUUUUAAAAAUACUAUUUUCAUCCAUAUUACAUUUCAAUAUUGUCCUUAUUAAAUUCAUUUAUUCAAACAUUAUACAUUCACAUUAUUUUUACCCUUUUUAUAGAGGAUUAUAUCGUUUGUGCACCAAAUUUUGUCACCAUUGUUGACACCUACGAUGUUGUCAAAAAUUUAUUAGUUGGAAAGACGGUUUAUUGUUUACACUAUUCAAUGACAGGAUGCAACGACACAUUGUAUCCAAUAAUGUGUAAAAGAAGAUGUACACCAAGCACGAUCUUUCAUAUAUCUAUCAUACUCUAAAUUCAUCACUAUUAUAAUUUCAAAAUUUUAAAAAACAUUAUAUCCAACCUCAUUACAUAUAACAUCAAGAUUCUCAGAAUUCUAUAAUUAAUUCUAUAGACAAAAAAUUAUAAGAUCAGAUUCCAUGAAAAGAGAAAAUCAUUCUACAAAUACAUUAAUGGACGAUCAUGGUCAUCACGAUCAUUCUCUUGACUAUGUUGCUCUCAUCCUAUAAUGUUUCUACUAAGUUUUUCGAUUAGUUGCUUCUUCAUCUUAUCAUUUACUUUGACGAACUUAAAUACUUGUAUGUAUUUGUUCUAGUGAUGUCUGUUUUAUUGUGGUUUUUAACUUUAGUUGAAGAAAAUAUUUUAUGACUAUUAGAGUUUUAGUUAAACAGAAAUUUUAAAAUAAUAUAAAAUGAUCCACAAAAAUUUAAUGAAAAUAAAUAUUAGUGGAUAAAUUUAGAGUGAUAUAUUUUUAUUUAAUUUUAUACGUGUAUAAUUAAGUAAAUUCACAUAAAAUUAAAAAUAUAAUAUAUAUAUAUAUAUAUAUAUAUAUAUCUCUUAAGUGGAUAUAUAAAAAAAAAAUGGUGAAUUUAUAUAACGGCUUCCUAAUUAUGACCUAGUGCUUUUUUCCUAAAUAGGAAUUAUUUAAUUAAAAUACACUGACUAUGUUGCUCUCAUCCUAUAAUGUUUCUACUAAGUUUUUCGAUUAGUUGCUUCUUCAUCUUAUCAUUUACUUUGACGAACUUAAAUACUUGUAUGUAUUUGUUCUAGUGAUGUCUGUUUUAUUGUGGUUUUUAACUUUAGUUGAAGAAAAUAUUUUAUGACUAUUAGAGUUUUAGUUAAACAGAAAUUUUAAAAUAAUAUAAAAUGAUCCACAAAAAUUUAAUGAAAAUAAAUAUUAGUGGAUAAAUUUAGAGUGAUAUAUUUUUAUUUAAUUUUAUACGUGUAUAAUUAAGUAAAUUCACAUAAAAUUAAAAAUAUAAUAUAUAUAUAUAUAUAUAUAUAUAUAUGUCUUAAAAGUGGAUAUAUAAAAAAAAAAUGGUGAAUUUAUAUAACGGCUUCCUAAUUAUGACCUAGUGCUUUUUUCCUAAAUAGGAAUUAUUUAAUUAAAAUACACAAAUAAAUUCUUUAGUCAGAAAUGAUUAAAGUAAAAUUAAGUAUAAUAAAGUAAUUAAUUUGUUGAAUGGUCAAAUGAAGAAUAAUAAAUUAAACAAAAAGAUUGUGAAACCGUACAUAUAUUUUUAAUACUUGUGGUAUUUCAAAAUUAUGCACCUAAAAUUUAUCUAUUAAGGUUUGACCAGAUAAACAUGGACUAAUUCAAAGCUUACAAAGGACAACUUGCUUCAAUGAUAAAUGCACAGGCUCUACAUUGUUGAAGUAAAGAAUCAUCAAUUAAAUUCAUUAGAAUAAUCAUCUUACGAAAGUUACAUGAUUGUAUUCUAGAAGCUCAUAGCAUUGUUUCCGAUAGAUCCCAAGUCUAAUGGAUAGCCAAAGCACAAUAAAUAUCAAUUAGCAGCAAAAAGUAAAUUUGUCAAUUUCCACAAAUCUUAAACAAGAAUGUAAGACUUGCAUGAAAUACUUCCCAAAUAAGUAUUUUACGUACAUACUUGAGACUGGCCGAAAAAACUUUAUUAUUGUAAACAGUGUGUUAAGAGACUAUCCAAUUUGCAUUAGUCCGUGUGUACGGAAUAAUGCAUCAGAGGAAAAUUCUAGAAUACUCACAUGUUAUCAAAAAAAAUACCCACACAAUCCUCAUUGUGUGUGACUUGUAAGACCCUUGUGAAGGUACCUUUGUAUGCCAAGUGGAGUUCAUCCACUUUAUAUUUUUGGUAAUGGGAGUUUGUAAUAGAGUAUUUAAUUUCUUGAAAGGAACAGAAUUUGUACAAUGUUCAAGGUUCAUAGAACAUAAUGUUCUAUAGAGUUUCAUGGAGAAGCUUUUCAGCGCCUUUAGGAGAGUCAUCACGAAUGAUCCAUGGUGGGAAGGAAACUUAUGGAAAGUUAAAAAGAAAAUAUUCUUUCUAAUUCUCUUGUAAAUAUCUAGAUAGAAAAAUUAAGAGAAUUUGUGGGUUAGGAUAUGAUAUUGGAUGACAUAGACAACUGCAUGCGAUAACAAGCAAGGUAAGGCAUUACAUGCUGACGCAAGACCAUCGACUCCCCGAGGGCGCGCUACCUCUAUGCGAGGCCAUCGACCCCCAGGGGGCUCUACCUCUACGCGAGGUCAUCGACCCCCCAACAGCUCUCUACCUCUACGUGUGGCUACCGACACCCUGCGGGGGCGCUCUACCUCUGUGAGACCAUCGACCCCCCGAAGACGCUCUACCUCUACGCGAAGCCAUCGACCCCCUGGGGGCGCUCUACCUCUACGCGAGGCCAUCGACCCCCAUGAGCUCUCUACCUCUACGCGUGGCCAUUGACCCUUCGGGGGGCGCUUUACCUCUAUGCGAGGUCAUCAACCCCUCUGGUACGUGAUGCCAUCGACCCCCCGGGGGCUCUACCUCUAUGCGAGGCCAUCGACCCCCCAUGGGCUCUCUACCUCUAGGCGAGGCCAUCGACCCUCCGAGGACGCUCUACCUCUACGCAAGGCCAUCGACCCCCCAUGGGCUCUCUACCUCUACGCGAUGCCAUCGACCUCCCGGGGGCACUCUACCUCUACUCGAGAUCAUCGACCCCCGACGGGCUCUCUAUUUCUACAUGUGGCCAUCGACCCCCCCGGUGGUGUUCUACCUCUAUGCGAAGCCAUCGACCCUGUGGGGGCGCUCUACCUCUACGCGAGACCAUCGACCCCAAUGGGCUCUUUACCUCUACGCGUGACUAUCAACCCCUCGGGGGGCGCUCUAUCUCGCUCUACCUCUACGCGUGGCCAUCGACCCCCCCAGGGGCUCUAUCUCUACACGAGGCCAUCGACCCCCCAUGGGCUCUCUACCUCUACGUGAGGUAACCGACCCCCCCGGGGACGCUCUACCUUUACACAAGGCCAUCGACCCCCCCUAUGGGCUCUCUACCUCUACGCGUGGCCAUUGACCCCCAGGGCGCUUUACCUCUACGCGAUAUCGUCGACCGGCAUGGAAUUACCUACGUGACCACCCUAAUACUUAGCCAUAAGAUCUCUGAUAAAUUGACAAGGUUUCAUGGUGGUUACCACGGGCACAACCACCAGCCCAAAAGUUAAAGACCCCCCACUCAGAACAUAGGGGUAGUGGGAAAGCCAACGUGGGACACGUGACACCACGAUCGUGUGACAUUCACCGGCUUCUGAUGUCUAUAAAUACCCCCGAAGGUGACAGAGGUAUGGGAAUAUCAUUUUUCUUAGCCAUUUGAAUUCCCUCCUUAUUUUUCCUAAUACCAUAUACUGAUUAUCACAUCGGAGGUAAAACGAAGGAGAAAGCCCCACCCUCAUUUUUCAGGUUACACACGCCCGAUGGAGAAGCGGGAAUGCUAAAUACCACCAGGUGGACAAGGAGGUGUUGACUCACCGCCAUUUCAUUGGCGUCGUCUAUGGGAAGUUCUUCCACUGAACAUAAAAGUUAUGUCAAGAAGACAAACAAGAAGAGAUACACUUUUAAGGGAGGCUGCGGCAAAGACGGAGUCAGAGUCAGUCGCAAGGGGCUCCGGCCUACCAUCGCCAUCACAGUAUGUGACACAAAGCCAUAUCAGCAUCCUAGAGACCUAGUUGGUAGCAAUGAUAACCUUUUUGCAGAAUUAAAUGCAGAGAGCUACCCUCCCGCCAUUGCACUCGACGGAGGCCGUGCCGCCACCCUUGGGGACACACGUAGAAGCCCCACCUGUCAUCCAACCGGUGACGGUAGGCUCACGGGCUUCGAGGAUGAUAGUCAUGCGGCCCUCAUCACCCAUGGUAGUUCUGUAGCGAAGGAUGAAGGAGAUCAUGACGUAAAAGAUAGAUGAUGCAUUAUCCAGGAGAAAGGACAAGUGUAGGCAGAUGGUUUUGGAAGAAAACCCGUACGCACUUGAAAUUAUGGCGGUCCAUCUACCCGAGGGCUUCAAGCAACCUAUCGUAGAAGCUUACGACGGGGUCACGAAUAAGCUUGACCACCUCCGGACCUUCGUUGAUUUAAUAAGACUAUAUGCAGCACCCAAUGCAGAGAUGUGCUGGUCCUUACUUAGUCCUUAGGAAGGAAGCUAGAGACUGGAUGGCGACAUUAGUCUCCUAGACUAUUUGAAUGUUUGAUGAGUCUCCAGGAGCUUUGUGGCCUACUUCCUCAAUAGCAAGAGGAAGAGAAAGAUAGUUAUUGGCUUGAUGCAGGUCGUCCAAGAGAAGGACGAGUUUUUGUAAGAAUACUUGGCCAGAUUCAACCGAACCACCCCCCUACAGGGCUUUGGAGGGGCUACGGUAAUUUCAGAAGGGACUGUGGAGCUUCCAAUCACGCUAGGCACAUAUCCAACCACUGUGGUUAUUGUGGCGAGCUUUUUAGUUGUCAAAACCCCCGUGGCCUACAAUGCAAUCUACGGUUGGCCACUCUAAAUGCAGUCGGGGCCAUUCCCUUAACCUAUCAUCUGGUCAUGAAAUUCCCUACCAAUAGGGGGUCGGGUAUAUGUGAGGGGAUAAACAAGCGUCUAAGAGAUGUUAUGUCGAUAGUGUAUCAGCCAGAGGAGCACCACUGAUCAUGAUGUUAGAUGUCGAGCGUCCAAUAGGACGGAUCAAACCACUUGACAUGAUUGAAAAGAUCUAUGUAUCAGAAAGACAGGAGUUCAGCAUCAAGGUCGGACUGAAAUUCGAUGAAAAGGAAAAGUUGGUAAGAUGCUUGGUAGAUAACCUGGACGUUUUCACAUGGAGUCCAAGCGACAUCACUGGAAUCAGUCUAGCGAUCGCACAACAUUGCCUCGGUGUCCUAUUAGGAGCCAAAUCAGUGAAGUAGAAGAAAAGGAACCUCGUCCCUGAAAGGCAAGGAGUAGCUAAAGCGAAGGUGAAAAAGCUACUACAAGCUAGUUUCAUCCGAGAGGUGCAGUACCCCGAAUGGCUGGCCAACAUCGUGCUAGUGAAGAGGUCAAAUGGGAAAUGGCACAUGUGCGUGGAUUACACCAGGCUAAAUAAGGCAUGCCCAAAGGACUCAUACUCGCUCCCUUGGAUAGACCACCUAGUCGAUGCCACAUCAGGUUAUGAAAGGCUUAGCUUUUUGGACGUGUUCUUCGGAUAUCAUCAAAUCUCUAUGGUCGAGUUUGACUAGGAGAAGACGUUAUUUAUCAUGAAUUUUGGGACCCACUGUUAUACGGCCAUGCCAUUCAGGCUAAAAAACGUAGGGCAACUUACCAAAGAAUGGUGAAUAAGGUCUUCCAGGAGUUGAUUAGGACUAUCAUAAAGGCCUAUGUCGACGACAUGGUGGUAAAAAGUGUUACCAUUUUUCAAAGCCACAGGGCGCUCUACUAAUUUAGAGUAGAUGUAAAAGUACAAAGAAUUGCUGGAAUCCUUGAAGCAGUCACUACAGCAACCUCCAAUUUUGACCAGCCCGUGCCCGGGGGAUAUACAGUGUCUUUAUCUAGCGAUUUCACCCUGGGCAGUCAGUGCAGUACUAGUGAAAGAAUUCCCAAAGGUAUAAAAACCAGUCUACUACAUAAGCCUGGUUCUAAAGGGCGCAGAGACAAGAUAUAGCCUCACCAAGCAAUUGGUGCUCGCGUUGAUCAUCACGAUCUUACAUCAACUAGAGACAUCUGGGAGGUUGUUGAAAUGGGUGAUCGAAUUGAGUGAGCUUGACAUCGAAUUUAGGCCCAGGAGGGCCAUCAAAGUACAGGCUCUAGCAAAUUUUAUCGCCGAGCUCACCAUCCCACUAGAACCACUAGAAGGGCAAAAAAUGGAUUGGAAGAUUUUUGUGGACGGUUCUUCGAAUGCAGAGGGAUCAGGAGUUGAGAUCAUAAUGAUUGGACUGGACUCUGAAGAAUUUGAAUAUUCACUUGCUUUGAGUUUCCCGCUACCAAUGACGAUGCUGAAUAUGAGGCAAUGAUCACAAGCUUAGGUCUGGCAGCUAGGCAGGGGUAUCUUCAGUAGAGGUUUGCAGUGACUUGCAGUUAAUAGUUGGACAUGUGUUGGGAGAGUUUGAAGCGAAAGACGGAAAGAUGGCUGCAUAUUUGAUGAAAAUAAGGGAUAUACAAAAGGAAUUCACAAGCUUUAAGAUGACUAAGGUCCCACGAAAAAAUAAUGAGGGAGCAGGCGCAUUGGUAAGGCUCGUAUCGGCAAGCCAAAGAAAUCUACCACAGGCGGUGAACGUUCAAGUUCUACGACAACCUAGCAUUCAACGCUGGGCCAAGAUGAAGAACAUUGAGUAUGAAGAAAGUUGGAUGGAUCCACUGAUCAAAUAUCUCACGGAGGAUGAGGUACCAAAAAACGCUUUCGAAGCAAAGAGGUUGAGGGUUCGAGCAGUCUCAUUUACCAUCGUCAAUGGGCAGCUCUACAAGUGGGGCUUUACAUUGCUAUAUCUGACUUGCUUACUCUAUGGAGGCAUAUGGUCGACAUAGCCUAUGCGGUUAGACGGAGAGCCUUAGAAGCUAAAAAAGUGGCUAAGGCCCUUAACCGCUAGACCCCUCUCUCGACGGUCGACACAGUCCACGUGGCUAGGCGGAGAGCCUUAGAAGCCAAAAAAGUGGUUAUGGCCCUUAACCACUUGACCCCUCUCUCGACGGUCGACACAAUCCACGUGGCUAGGCGGAGAGCCUUAGAAGCCAAAAAAGUGGUUAUGACCCUUAACCGCUUGACCCCUCUCUCGAUGGUCGAUACAGCCUACGUGGCUAGGCGGAGAGCUUUAAAAACCAAAAAAUUGGCUAAGGCCCUUAACCGCUAGAUCCCUCUCUCGACGGUUGACAUAGUCCAAGCGGCUAGGCGGAAAGCCUUAGAAGCCAAAAAAUUGGCUAAGGCCCUUAACCGCUUUACCCCUCUCUCGACGGUUGUCAUAGCCCACGCGGCUAGCGGAGAGCCUUAGAAGCCAAAAAAUUGGCUAAGGUCCUUAACCGCUAGACACUUCUCUUAACGGUCGACAUAGCCCACGCGGCUAGGCGGAGAGCCUUAGAAGUCAAAAAAAUGGCUAAGGCCCUUAACCACUAGACUCCUCUCCUGACGGUCGACAUAUUUCACGUGGCUAGAUGGAGAGACUUAGAAGUAAAAAAAUUGACUAAAACCCUUAACCGCUAGAUCUCUCUCCCGACGAUCGACAUAGCCCAUGAAGCUAGGCGGAGAGCCUUAGAAGCCAAAAAAUUGACUAAGGCUCUUAACCGCUAGACCCCUCUCUCGACGAUCAACAUAGCCCACUCGACUAGGCGGAGAGCCUUAAAAACCAAAAAAUUGACUAAGACCCUUAAUCGCUAGACCUAUCUCUUGAAGGUCGAUAUGGCCCACGCAACUUGGCGAAGAGCAUUAGAGGUCAAGAAAUUGGCUAAGACCCAUAACCACUAGACACCACAUUUGACGGUCGACACAACGCAAGCGGAAAGACAGAAAGCCUUCGAAAAAAAAAAUAAAUAAAAUUUUUUGAGAAAAGGAAUAUGCUACCCUUUGCCCAAAAACAUCGACAAGGGGUAAGGGGGCUAGUGAUAUUGGAUGGCAUAGACAACCGCCUGCGAUAACGAGCAAGGUAAGACAUUACAUGCUGACGCAAGACCAUCGACCCCUCGGGGGGCUCUACCUCUACGUGAAGCCAUCGACCUCCUGGGGGCGCUCUACCUUUACACGUGGCCAUCGACCUCCAGGGGCUCUCUACCUCUACGCGUGGCUAUCGACCCUUCAGGGGGUGCUCUACCUCUAUGUGAGGUCAUCGACCCCCUCGAGGCGCUCUACCUCUACGCAUGGCCAUCGACCCCCCAUGGGCUCUCUACCUCUACGCGAGGACAUCGACCCCCUCGGGGACGCUCUAUCUCUAUGCAAGGCCAUCGACCCUCCAUGGGCUCUCUACCUCUACGUGAGGCCAUCGACCUCCCACGGGCUCCCUACUCUAUACGUGGCCAUCGACCCCGGCUCUAUGCGAAGCCAUCGACCCCCCGGGGGCGCUCUACCUCUACACGAAGCCAUCGACCCUCUAGGGGCACUCUACCUCUACGCGAGGCCAUCGACCCCCAUGGGCUUUCUACCUCUACGUGUGGCCAUCGACCCCUCGGGGGGCACUCUACCUCUAUGCGAGGUCAUCAGCCCCCCAGGGUGCUCUACCUCUACACGUGGCCAUCGAUCCCCCGGGGGGCUCUACCUCUACGUGAGGCCAUCGACCCCCCCCCCGGGGACGCUCUACCUCUACGCAAGGCCAUCGAACCCCCUAUGGGCUCUCUACCUCUCCGCGUGGCCAUCGACCCCCAGGGGCGCUCUACCUUUACGCGAUAUCGUUGAUCGGCAUGGAAUUACCUACGUGACCAACCUAAUACUUAGCCAUAAGAUCUCUGAUGAAUUGACAAGUUUCCAUGGCGGUUACCACGGGCACAACCACCAGCCGGAAAGUUAAAGACCCCCCACUCAGAACGUGGGGGUAGUGGGAAGGCCAACGUGGGACACGUGGCAUCACGCCCGUGCGACAUUCACCGGCUUCUAGUGUCUAUAAAUACCCCUGAAGGUGACAAAGGUAUGGGGAUAGCAUUUUUCUUAGCCAUCUGAAUUCCCUCCUUAUUUUUCCUAAUACCAUAUACUGAUCAUCACGCCGGAAGUAAAACGGGGGAGAAAGUCCCACCCUCAUUUUUCAGGUUACACACGCUCAACGGAGUAGCGAGAACGCUAAAUACCACCAGGUGGACAAGGAGGUGUUGACUCACUGUCAUUUUAGGAUAGAUAUUCGUCGUCCAUUGAAAGGAGAUUGAAAUAUGAAAGGGGGCAAUCUGUAAAUGAGAGUAAGGUAAGCUGCAUCUUUUCCUCUUGAGAAUACUAAUGUCUUUAUAUUUAAAUUUGAAAAUGAGAGUGCAUACCUAAGGUCUUGGAACGAUCCCCACAACAUGUUUACACUAACAAUCAUGUUACAAGUAUAGAAAGUUUUGACAAAAUUUUUUUACUAGCAACACACGGUUAUAAUUCAUUGGAGAGUGGGAAAAAAUCCAGACAAAUAAGAUGUUGUCACAAAAGCAUCUAUAAGAAUUUUGUUGAGAAUUUCUGUGCUUAGAUCUUUUCCUUACACUAAACCCCUUUUUCAGACCACAGCCUCCAAUAUUUCAAAUGACUUAAUCGGAUGUUUUAUCUCCUUGAAGCGAGACGUAAACCUUGAUUCAAGCCUCAAAAUAUAAGAAUAAAAUAAUUCAAAAUAAUAUUAAAAUUUGUUCUUAAUAUACCAUAAUUCUUUUUUAAAAGUUCAUGAUAAAGUUAAUCAACAAAAUUAAAGUCUAAUUUGGAAACAAACAUAAAUAGAUCAAUAAAAUAGAAAAUAAUGAGUUCUCUAAUCAGUAACUAUUAAUAAUCGUGUAACAAAAUUAUAAUUUAUUACUUUACUAAAAGUGAAGAUAAAUAAAAGAUUUUCUUAUAUCUCACUACUAAUAUUGUAAGUUUCUUUUAAUUCUUUGUCGUCAUCAUCCAAUUGUAAUUGUGUAUUUUCCUUUCCAACUUCCGUAGGUAGAAAAAGGAAAAUGAAAAAAAUCCAUGAAAUAUUUUAGAUUAUAGAGUUAUUAAAAUAUUUCAAAUUCAAUUCCACUCCAAUGUUAACCCAUUGGGCUAGAGGAAAUCCAUUGAACAUUCAACACUAAUAGCACUAUCAUGGAUCGAAAUGAAGUACUAUAUAUUUUAAAGAUUUUAUUCAAAUAUUAUUUCUUAAUAGAUUUUGCUCGUAACAUAAUAAAGUCGUCCAUUCUUUUACACAUCAGUUGUAUUGGGACAUAAGCACACCCCUCUACGCUGUUCAUGUAGCAGUGUUAACUAUUCCAUAACUAAUUUGGAGAGUUUUGAGAAGAUGGAUACAAGAGUCCUUUAUUUUUUAUUGUCAUUUUUUUACCUAGAGCAAGAUCAAUAUUGCCGUUCUUGUGUCGAGAUAGUCUUGACCAAGGUCAAGAUUUUAGCUACUUCGAAAAGAAGCACUUACCUAACAUUUUGUUUUUCAACAUGAUUUAUGAUUCUCCAUCAAGAUGGAGUCUAAAUUGCAAGCACCUUAGAUAUACGUACGUGUUUGCUCAUGUGUGAGUGCUUGUUCCGUUAAGUAUGUUUUUUUUUUUUUUUUUUUUUGGGGUCAAAUCUGUGUUUAUAAUUAAUGCCUAUGCGAACCAUUAUCAAAUAUAUUGUUAAAAUUAAUGUUUGAUUUUGACUUGAAAUUAUAAAAAAAUUAUAAUAAAACUCAAACAAACACGGUAACCUGUUGGGUAAAAGUAAGUUUGAUUUUACAUAUAUGUAUUAUACAUAUAUACAUAUGUGUAUAUGUAUACGNNNNNNNNNNNNNNNNNNNNNNNNNNNNNNNNNNNNNNNNNNNNNNNNNNNNNNNNNNNNNNNNNNNNNNNNNNNNNNNNNNNNNNNNNNNNNNNNNNNNNNNNNNNNNNNNNNNNNNNNNNNNNNNNNNNNNNNNNNNNNNNNNNNNNNNNNNNNNNNNNNNNNNNUACAUAUACGUAUACAUAUACACAUAUAUUGUUGACGUCAAAAUUAGCAAGACUAAUUUUAAACCAACUUUAAGAAGAAAAAAGGGAAUUUAUUAUUGAAAGAAACCACAAAAUAUGUUGAGAACGUGUAAUUCUGCCAUGAGCUUGUACAUGAAUUCACUUGCCCUUUACCAGAUUUCUACCCUACUAUUUAUACAUGGCUCCAGCCUAAAUUACAUUAAAUCAAUCAAAUCAGCUACAGUACCAAGCCCAAAACUCGGGUUUCCAACUCUCCUGAUUGGUUAAUGAGGUCGGUGGCCAUGUGUCAAUGUUUUCCCCAGGUAAUGAUGACCUGCAAGGGGCUUGAGAAUCAUGGCUUCGAAUUGGCGGUUUUAGGCGGUGAUGACGUCACUUGUGGCAAGUUUAUAUGAUUGUUAGGGUGAUGUGACAGGAGGUAAUCAUGAUAUUUUCUUGAGAUAACGGCGAGCUAGUCCGAUUUGGGAGCAGUGACCGAACUCACAUCUGCCUGUGGUGGGUUUAGCGAAUUGUUUUUGUUAGAUCGGAGUUCGGUAGUCAACAUAUAUGUAUAAAUAGAUCUGAAAAUAUUUUUCAAAAUGAAGAAGAAAUUGAUCAAUCAUCUGCAUCAAAUGAUUUCAAUAGUCAUGAACCUCAAAUUGCUUAAAUAGAACAAAGAUUGCAUAACUGGACAUUUCCAAAGGUAGAAAAAAAUUCUAUUGAUGAAAUUGGAAAGUUUGAUUUUACUCAAAAUUACGUUAUCACAACUUUUGAACAAACGUUAUCAAUUAAAAAUCAAAAUGCUCAUAUCAAUCUAUUUUCAAAAGAAUCAAUUAAAUCCCACAUGAAGAAAUUUAAAUAUCUUCAUGUUGGAUUAGUUCAAAUUACUGUCAAACAUUUGUUUAGACUUGGGUUAGACAUUCCAAUUCUCUUAACUCUUCAAGAUAAGAGACUCUUCAAAUUUGAAAAUUCAUUAUUAUAUGUUCUAGAGUUAAAUCUAGAAAGUGGUCCAAUUUAUUCAAAUUGUUAUCCAAAUUUUUUUAUUAAUCUCAAUGAUGGAGCUAUUCUUAAUGCUUUAAAUCUCCAUAUUCAAACCAAAAAUCUUAAUUUCGAUGAUCGUUCAAAUGCUUUUACUGUAAUAUACAGGAUAUAUUACAAGCUCAUGAAUACUCAACUAAACAUUGGUGCUUUACGUUCAUCUUCUAAAGAUGAAAGUCUUUUGGUUGAAUGUAAUCCUUUUCAUUCAAACACCAUAAUUCCCAAGAGAAUUCCUUGGAAUCUUCAAAGUCGUGGACUAGAAUGAAAUUUUGAAAAUGUUCAAAAUCCUAUUCUUGUUCCUAUUCAAACAAUUCCAAAUCAAAUUCUUACUUUUCCAGAUAGAAACGUCAAAAUGACUUUCAAAGGAUCUUCUUAAGUUUUAAAGAUCUUACUCUUUGAGAUCUAAAGAUAAACCUAGAUCUUCUUAUCAAUCUGCAAGAUUUUCAACAUCUUCUCUUUCAGGUGUUUAUUUCACUCCACAUAUUUCAAAACCUCAAUAUUCUGAAAAAGAUACAUAAAAAGAAGAAGAAUUAGAACAACCCGCUUCUCCAACUUUUUUUGACAUGUUUUCUACUCAAAAUGAAAGACUUGAUCAUCAAACAAAUGUUAUUUCUUCUAGGAUUGACAGAAGAAAUGAAUUCAAAACUGAUCAAACUCCUGAUGUUAAAAGUUUUCGAAAAAUAUUUCGUUAAAGUUUUUCUAAAGAAGAACGAGAAUUUUAUUGGGAAGUAUUUGAAGAAUUCCCUAACAAUUUAAGUUUUUAUGAAUGGGCUUAUUUCAAAGUUUUCAAUAAAAAGCCUACUUUUUCAAAAAUUUCUUCAAAAUCAAAGAAAGAAAAAUCUAUUCAAGUUACUAAUAUUCCACAGAGGACUUGGAAAACUCCUUCUGGUGAAAAUAUUCAAUCUUUUCAUCCUCAUUUGCAAGAUAUUGUAGUUCCACAUGGAAAUACAGAAGUUAUUGCUUCUCAUUUCAAAAAGUUAUCUGAAGAACGACCUGAUGAAUCUCAAGUUAUUGUUAAGGAUAUCAAAAAUAUUCAAGCUCAAAAUAACUACACUAAUGUAGUUCUUCAAUCUGUCUGUUCUCAACUUAAUAGAAUUGAAAUAAAUUCUGAACCUGAAACAUCAUCCUCUUCAAAAGGUAUUAAGCUAAUAGAGCCAUUUUUAUUUAACAGGCAUGAGGCUAAACCAAGAAAUGGUCUCAAAAUUGAGAUUAAUGUUCUAAAAGAACUUGCUACUAUAUUAUCAAAAAUAUCAUCAUCCUCUACUUCAAAUAAUAUCAAUACUAUUUACGAUAUUGAAUCUCAAUAUAUUGAUGAUGAAGUUCCUCAAAUUAAUAAACUUCAAGGCAAAAAAGUUCAAUUUUCAAAAAUUCUUCCUUAUUAUCCAAAAAAUACUCCUCCAGAUUUACUUUUCGAACAAAAGGCUAAAAUGCCUGCGACAUUUUUUGGUUCAGGAAUAACUAUCUGGAAUAUAGAUGGGUUAACUGAAUAUCAAAUAUUUGAAAUUCUUGAAAGUAUGUUUGCUUAUUAUAAUGCCUAUAUUCAAGAAGGAAUUUUUCCAAUUGAGGCAACAAACAAUAUUAUUCAAGGACUUUCUGGUCAAAUUAAUAAAUGGUGGUUCAAUUAUAUUACUGAACAAGAAAAACUACAAAUUGCUCAAGCUCUAAAACCCGACGGUUCAAAUGAUUGUUUUAAUACAAUAAUUUAUUGUAUUAUUAAACAUUUCAUUAGAUCUCCAACAAAUGUUUUAGAAAAAAUUUCAAGUAUUUUAUUAACUUUAAAUUGUUCAAGUUUACAAGAUUUUCGUUGGUACAAAGACAUAUUUUUAUCACGUAUAUUUUUACGAAAAGAUUGUAAUCAAACUUAUUGGAAAGAAAGAUUUUUAUCUGGACUUAUUUUCUGAAAGAGUAAAAAAU